Molecule: long non-coding RNA, 68577 nt
Filed under: Prunus persica (peach)
Lineage: Eukaryota; Viridiplantae; Streptophyta; Magnoliopsida; Rosales; Rosaceae
Description: long non-coding RNA (PPER_LNC004266)
Source: RNAcentral
GCUGAGACGAAAAUCAAGAAUUAGAUAACCUGUUAGUUUCUGUAACGACCCGGUCCUAAAUAAAUGUUUAAUUAUUAAUUAAACAUGAUAAAAGACCAUUUGCCCCUAGAAUAUUUUAUUAGGUUUAAAGUUGACUUUUUGACUGAGAAGAGAUUUGAGAAUUCCUACUGUACUGGUGCGUAGGGCAUGGCGAGAUGAGUUCAUAGACACGUGGUGGGUUUGAAUCGGAGUUGUAACAAGAGAGAUACGAUCAAAAUACCCUCAGUGGCAUAACUAUAAUUUUGGAGAAAAGGGUUUGAUAAAAAUUUGGCUUCUCUCUCUCUCUCUCUCUCUCUCUCUCUCUCUCUCUCUCUCCCCCGCAAGUAAAACCCCCAUUCGUUUUCUGCAUAGCCGGUGGCUUCUAAAAGCCACUGCCGCCACCACCGUACACGACCGGCCUCGAGACCGAUCUUGUUUGAACCGUCGCUUCUCCCCCUUCCUUUCCUGACCAGCCCCGCCCCUGGAACCGGCAGAUUCCGUCGGAAAAAGCUCGGAAUCGAGCUGGAUUUGACAGAAACUUCGUCGGCUUUGUUCGCCGUCGUUCGACCACCAUUUCCGACGAUCUAGGUAUGGAUUUUGAACCUCUCGAGCUGUUCUUGCUGCUUGUUGUUUUAGAUUUGAGAGAUUUCUGCGUUUUGAAGGUCGAUUAAGCGAUGGAAGUUUGGCCGAUUUUCGGCUUCCGAUUCCGGCCACUUCCGGUCACUUUUUGGGGUAGGUCCAAGAACAAAAGUGGUUCCAAAUAGGGUGUUAUACCUAGGAUAGGAGUCUUGAGCCGUGGUUUUGAGAUUUUUCGGCGAUGCGUAAUCGCUUUGGACACCCACGCGUUGUCGGCGUGUGUGGCGGCGCGUGGGCACUGUAGAAAAGGGGCAUUGUGUCCCGAUGCAAUCCCCUUGUUGUCUCGAGUGCUUCAGUGUGCUCGAAUUUCAAUUUGGUUGACGUUUGAACCCUAAACGGAUUUCGCCUAUUGUGCAUUAUCAGGGUUCGAUAGGUUUGAACCGUUGGAUCGUCUUGAAUUCAAUAUAUGUUAAUCUAGGAAUUUCUAGGAUCGUGUAGGAAUUCAUGGAUCGUGAAUCGGAGCCCGGAUGUUCCGAUUUAAUAACUUAAAGUUUAUGUUUUACAAGAACCGUCUGAUUGUUCGAUCACGAGUGAGCCGACCGUUCGCUCGGGACCAAACUUACGGGACGUGUAUCCUGAACCUUGUAGAACCCAUAGUAACUUUCAGAUCAGAAUUUGGAGGUCGUGGGCCCUGUGGGCCCGUUUAACCAAGUUGGGGUAGUUGGAUACCUCGGUUGACCGUUAGUCUUACAAAGUAGUUUCACCCUUCGGAAGGUAUUAAGAUAACCUUUUUAUUGAAUCUUAAUUGUUAUUUGAGGUUAAAUUGGAAAUUGAUUCGAUUUAGGAUUUUCUUUAGAGGUUGUUGCUUAUCAUUAAUUAAUAUUAUUUGAUUAUAAAUAAAGUAUAAUGUUCUAGUUGUGUAAUACAGUAUUUUAUGGAAUUUGUGUGAAAACAAGCGUUGAAUAAUAUUUAAAUUGUUCUAGGAUCUUUAUGAAAUUUAGGUUUAUGUGCAUUAUCAUUGGUUAAAAAAAUAAUAUUAUUUUUCUGAUUAAAUUACGUUGCAGUCUACUAUAGACUGGUAUCACUAAAUUGGGAAUACCUCUAUUAUUAGUUUAGAUAAUUGAGAGUAUGUCAGUUUGAAAUACUAUACGCACUACCUUAUGUACCUCCUCGGAUAUUGAUUACACUGUAAGCACUAUUCUGUGAUUGUUAAGUCCCACGUGGAGUAGGUUAUCCAGCGUGAGGACAGACCUCAAACGUGGCGUUGAAUGUUCCGGCGUAUAGGGGAGAUUAUGUGAUGGUUAGGUCACACGUGGCGUAGGUUAUCCGGUGUGUUGAUAGACCCCUUACGUGGCGUUGGAUGUUCCGGUGUAUGGAGAGAUUUUGUGUUUGUUAGGUCCCACGUGGCGUAGGUUAUCUGGCGUGAGGACAGACCCCAUAUGUGGCGUUGGAUGUUCCGGCAUAUGGGGGAGAUUAUGUGAUGGUUAGGUCACACGUGGCGUAGGUUAUCCGGUGUGUUGACAGACCUCAUACGCAGCGUUGGAUGUUCCGGGGUAUGGGGAGAUUUUGUGAUUGUUAGGUCCUAGGUUGCGUAGGUUAUCCGGUGUGAGGACAAACUCCAUACGUGGCGUUGGAUGUUCCGGCGUAUGGGGAGAUUUUGUGAUUACCAGGGAGAUGAAUAAAGGAUUGUUAUGUUAUAUUGGGAAAGACAUGUUUGUUGAAAGAACUACGUGUGACUUGAUCCCUUAGUAAGGGUACGUAGGCAACCUAGGGUAAAGCAUAGGUGCAGCCGCGGGCUAAACUUUACUUAUGUUGUUUUAGUGAGUGGGGUGUUGAAUUUGUAGUUGGUCUUGAAAUUCGUAUGGAAAUGAGACUUGAUUAAAAAAGUUAUUCUAUGUUGAUUACAGUAGGCGUUCAUAAAUAAGUUUGAGUUGGUUAUAUACUUUGUUUAAUGCAUUAAUUUGCUUCAAGAGCAUUGCUGGCGGUUCUGUUUCGAGUUAUUUGAAGGCCGGAGGCCGAUUAUGUGAAUUGCAUGAAAUUAUCUUGUGUAUGCUGCCAGUUGUGGAUAUUAAAUGUGUUUUAUGCAGGUUGAAAUUUUUGGGAUUGUUCAAAUUACAGGGGAGACUCUGCCAAAAUUUCGGCAGAAAGUCUCGGGCCCUUAUUCCUUUUGGGAAAAAAGGAUAUAGUUUUAGAAGUGAGCCCGACAUCGGGAUGAUGUCAGGAAUUUUCACAGGAUUCGUCUCGGGUUUCGGGAAAUUCGAGGCAGGUCCUGUCAUUUUGUGACUUACGUUGCAGGUGGUUGUAAGGGUAGCCGUACGAAAUAAAGUUAUUUGGUUGAGUAAUCUAUAUGAACUCUCAAUCAUAUACUCGUCUUAAGCUUGUUCUCGUGUUCUCUGUAAUGUACGCAUUGGAAUGUGUUCUCUUGUUAUGUGAUAAAAUGUGAUGUAACUUGCUCAAUACAUAUUAUGUCAAAAAUGUUUAGUAUGGCUAGGCUCCUUAAAAUUGAGGGGGAGCACAUCCUCACAACAAAUGAGAUUUUGGCACUAGUUAAACUUCAAAAAAAAUAUAAAUAAAUAAAAGAGGUUAAAAGAAUUCAAAUGAAAAAAAAUUAAAGGAAUUUGCCAAGUGAGAAACUGCUGCUCAGUUUUGUGGAGCCAAACUUUUUCCUAAUAUUAAUGGAGUUCAUGUAUGACUCAUUUGUUUUGUGUACCAAAUUUAAUGAAUUGUGCAUUCAUUGGUGGACCCAUAAGAUAUAGUUUUUAAUUUAGGUGAGAUAUUCUCGGCAAUUUAAAUCAUGUCAAAAACAUGAUUUCAAAAAAAAAUCAGCCGUCAUCGAGUUUGUAGAUAAAUAAAUAAUAUAUAUGGAUGAACGUAAGCUAUAGAGAAGAACAUUACCAAGAGCUUUCGUGCUGAUAAUGUAUUGUGAAACUAGGAAUUUGUUGGGAGAAAUAAGAGGAAGAAAGAGAGUAUAAUUUGCUCGAAUAAACUUAUAUUCCAUUCAUAUUUGGUGCCACUACUUAUAGGGGUAGAGAGGCCUAAAUCAUUUACCACCAAUAAUUGGUAGGUGACAAAUAUAUAAUGAUGAGUGUUAUGAUAGGUUAAUAGUGGCUAUUAUUGUGAGCAUCCAUAACCUAUAAACCCAUAACGUAUGGAUUUAUAACACAAAUACGUUUAUUAAAUAAAAAAUAAUUAAAAGCUAAAAAGAAGAUAAGAGUCUAUGUCCAGCAAGAAUUCUAUAUAGAUUACUGUUGAGGCCCAAAAUGUCAUAAGAAGCUCAAGGAUAUUUAAAGUUCAAUAUAACAUAUAAUGUUGGCCAUGCGUUAAUCCAAGCUGUAUUUUGGGAAUUGAUUCAUUAAAUAAACAUAGAAAUAGUGUACAUGCCAUGCCAAUCAAAUAAUAUAUUUUUCUAUGCUAAACCACCUAACAAGCUUAAGUGGACCCAAGCCACAUAUAUGUUUGGGGCUUGCUGAGCGGAUUGUGGUGUGGAUGGUUACAAGUGUUCAUAAAGCUCGUUGAAGGAUCAAAUAGUGGAAAUUUUACGGCUGCUUGGGAGUACCAAAAUUCAUAUAUACCCACUUUCUUGAGCCUAAUUACACGAGUAAGCAGAGAGGGAACUCCCAGCCUCUUCCAAAACUCAAACCCACUUUCAUUACUAUGCACACAGUAAUUACUGCACACUCAUGGAGAGACCAAUUGUUGAGCACUGUCCAUUCAGGGAUCCUUCCUUACACAAUCAUUCUUCAGCCUAUAAAUAGACCUUCAUCCCUCCUUGCAAUACACACACCGAAACCAGAAGAAGAACGGCAGGAGGCAAGCUCAUCCUCCCACUGCCGUCUAGUAGCUAUGCUUGUAUCUGGUCUCGAUUUGCAUAUCUAUUAUUAGGUAAAAUACUUUGAAAAAGCACAAAUAGUUUGUGGACAUGAGCGAUAGAUACUGUGGCUAGAUUGUCAACAAUGACAGUGUGAACGACUUUUCUUCAUGGUGUGCUUUAGCUACAUCUUCUACCCUUCUGCGUUGGUCACAUUCAUGUAAUCUUGUACAUGAAGCAACGUACCACAAAGGCUAUCAAAACUUUAAUAACUGUGGACUAGAAGGAAGCAAUAUAUAGGUCCUACUACCUGUGCAUUUUUGCUUGACUAAUAGUUUGAUGCUUAAGGUAAAUCCAAUACAAUUAGUGUAAAUGUCCUUUUACUAUAUAAUUAGGUAUAUCCAAUACAAAAUAAAUCUUUAAUCUUGAACGUAUUUAUAUAGGGGAUUCUAUGACUCACAAAGAAAACCUACGGAUACAUUUGGGUUAUGUUUAAUCUCAUUUUCUCUUUUGUAAUUCCAUCUACUUUUUAUAAGAAUUUGUUUGAAACAACUUAUAUAUAAAAACUACCAUUGUUUUUAGAUGAUUAUUGUGGUAGGAUGAAAUCAACAAAAUAGACAAACAUGGUAUUUCAAGAAAAGACUAUAAUAACAACUAUCUAAUUGAAUGAUCAAAUGGUUUCGGAUCCAAGUGAUUAUCGCAGAGAUGAUCUUUGAAGAAAUAUCUAAAAACUAGAUGGUAUUGGAUUAUUGAAAUGCAUGGUGAGUCUUAUAAGGGUGUCCUUCAAAUAAGCUUAUUUGAGAAAUCCCUCAACUAAAGCCAUAUCAAUCUCCUUCUCACAAUAUAUAUAUACACACCACACCUUUUGUGAAAAUCUAAAAAUGCUAAAUUAGGAAUGAAAACUGACAGUUAAAGAACUCUCAUGAUCACUCUACAAGAUUGUGACCUGAAUGAUGAAUCAGCAGCUUAAGUUUUACCCAAUUUGCCACAUACCAUCAAAGUAGGGGUUGAUUUGGCGUUCUUUAGCCUUUAAUCACCACAAGAGUCACAAAUUCUUCUCUUCUGUCUCCUUAUCUUUCCAACCCCACUGAUAUCUCAGAAAGGUCUAUAAAUAGGGAGAACCAAGCCACAUUAUACUCACUCAGCAAUCAUCUCUUGCAUACUUUCAUAUAUACAUUAUCGUGCUUGUUGUUAAGCAAAACUUGGCAUCCUCAAAGGCUUGUCUUCUUCUUGGUCUUGUCUUUGCUGUUCUCUGUUGACGUGAAUCUCCUAAUUAAUGAAGGAGAUUUACUUCCUUGAUUAAUUAUGGGAUUUACUUUCCUAUUUUUUAUAUAGUUGAUAAAUCAUUGUAUAAUUAGGAGAUACUUUCUUAAUUCUUUACUGUAUCUAAUUCCUUGUAUAGCACCCCGUAAACUCUUAUAUAUACCUCUUUAUGGAGAAGAAUAAAGAUAACUGUUGUGAUAUUUAUUGCAAGCGCACAAUUCGCACAAGUAAUAUAGUGAUGAGUGAAGUGUCGUUCCCACGAAGAGUGAUUUAAUUUACCAAGUACCGAUUGUGAUUAACCCAAGACUUUAUUUGAACAAUUGAUGAUGAGAUUUGAUUGAUUAAUUAACUAAAACAAUGAAUAAAAACAAGCGUAGAAAAAUAAAGUAGUGAGAUUCAAGUUAUGAGAGCACUAGAGCUUCCGAUUUCACCAUAGCCAAUUCUACCCAAUUCCCUUAGCAUGUUAAUCCUAAUUAUUCUCUAUAUUGACAGUUGAUUUUCCCUACUUUAUUCGAUACUCCAUCCCUGGUUAUACCAAAAGGAUUCUUAUUACCAACCCACUCUAUCCCUAGUAAUGGAAUUAAGAUAAUAAGAACCCAUUAAAUUCCUUGGAAACCUACAAAACAACCACAUAAGUCAUGACAAACAUCCCUGUCUAAUCAUGUAACUCAUGGUAUCUAUUACAAGAAGCAACCCCAAAUUGGAUAUUCCUAUCAUCAAUUUAGCAUCAAAACAAUUAAAUGUUGGCCAAACAUUCAAAGCAUUAAGCAUGGUAAUAGAUACUCAACAUGGAAAAAUGCUUGGAAUUAACAUUGACUAAAGUAAUUGAGUAUUCAUGGCUAGGCUACAUCGUAGCCCUAGCAAGAAGAAAUUAGUUCAUGACAACUUUAAUAAAAACCAUGAUAAAUAAUAUCAUAGGAAAGAAGUAACCAAUUGAAGAUUUGAUCUCUGCACGACAGCAACUCUAGCUCCAGGUUGUCUUUUUUGUCUCUCUAAAACUCUCUCUCUCUCUCUCUCUCUCUCUCUCUCUCUCUCUCUCUCUCUCUCUCUCUCUCCUUUGAGUGUUUCGGCGAUGAGUAUGAAUGUGUAGGGAUUUUAGGGUAGAUGAUGGAGGAUGGAUGAUGGGUAAUGGAUCCUUUCAACAAUGACCUAAACUCCCUAUUUAUAAAACUCCUAGAAAUCCUACCUAAGGAAUAAUUACAAUUGUUAUAAAAAUAGGAUUCCUUCUAAAAUAAGGUCUUCUUUAUUUCUCCUUGUUUGACUUGAUAAGACUUGCACCAUCUUGAACUAGGAAAUUUGACAACAUUCCUUGCAACAAAAGGAAUGACUUGGCUUCUUUUUAAUUGAUCUUCAUCUUCUUGCCUUUUUUUAGCACACUUUCUCCUAUUUCACAAUUCCUUCACAAAUCUCACAAAACCAAUUAAAAACAACCAAUUUAAUCCAAGAAAUUAAUAAAUAAAUAAGCAAAGGAGGCAUAAAAUAUAUAUAUAAUAUAGACUUAUCAAUAACCUAAUACAUUCAAACCAUAUUCAUAUUUUAGCAUGGUAUCAGAGCAAUCGAUCCUCGGUUGUCUCUAAAUUCUCAUAUCAAAUUUUUCUUCAAACACAAACCAUAAAUCCUCAUAUCAAAUUUCUUCAAACACAAACCCUAAAUCCUCAUAUCAAAUUUCUUCACACCCAAACCCUAAAUCAAAUUCCUCAUAUUUAUAGCUUCAGAUUCAGAUCUUCAUACCCGAAUCCUCAUAUCCUCUUAUCACAAAACCCUAAACACAAAUUUUUUUCUCUUAUCACAAAAUCCUAAACACAUCUUUUUCCUCUUUUCUUAAAUCUUUCUGCUGCCAUGAAUAUUGUCUCAUCUUCCCAAACCACUGCCUCCACUUCCCCAUCCUCCAUAAUUGCCACAACAGGUUCCCACGGUUAUGUUUUGCAUAGUUCUUCAAAGAAACACAUAUGGGUCAUUGACACCGGAGCCACUGAUCAUAUAACCUUUGAUCCUGGAUAAAAUACCUCUCAUACCCCGUCUUCUCAAUCGGUGGUGUCUAAUACCAAUGGUACCCCCUCCCCAGUAAUUGGGGAGGGUUCCCUCUCUCUCUCUGACUCCCUCACUUUGGAUUCUGUAUUGAUUGUUCCAUCCUUACAUCAUAAUCUCUUAUAUGUUGCCCAAAUUACUACGGCUUUGAAUUGCAUUUUAACCUUUUGGCCUACUCAUUGUGUUUUUUAGGACAUUCUCAGCAGAAGAUGAUUGGUUGUGGUACUAGGACGGGCAAACUCUACUAUCUGGACUUGGCAUCUGACAGUGAAGCCAGCCUCAGUCAUGCUUACAAAAUUGGGGGUACGAGUGUUGAGAAGCAAACUUUCGGAGUAUGGUUAUGACAUCGCCGACUUGGACAUGCUUCAUUUGGAUAUUUACAGAAGCUAUUUUCUUCCUUAUUUUCCCAGUUAGAUAUCUUUAGUUUUAUGUGUAACAUCUGUGAAAUAGCCAAGAGCCAUCGUGUUUCUUUCCCUUUAAGUUCACAUAAAAGUUUGGUUCCUUUUUCGCUUGUUCAUUUUGAUGUUUGGGGCCCGCUAAAAUUACCACUCUUGGGGGAGCUAGAUGGUUUGUCGCGUUUAUCGAUGAUUGCACACGUAUGACCUGGGUUUCCCUUCUUCAAACAAAAGGGGAAGUCAGUUCCAAGUUUCAACAGUUCUAUCACAUGGUGGAGACAUAAUUUCAUACAAGAAUUCAAGUUCUUCGGUCUGACAAUGGUGGAGAAUUUCUCUACCAUAAUCUUACUCAAUUCUUACAAGAUCAUGACAUCAUACAUCAAUGCUCAUGCCCUUACACUCCCCAACAGAAUGGUGUGGCUGAACGAAAGAAUAAACACUUAUGGAAGUGGUUCGUGCCUCUCUCUUUGGUGCCAAUAGCCUCGGUCUUUUUGGGGAGAAGACGUCCUCUUUGCAGCAUACCUUAUCAAUCUGAUUCCCUCCAGUAUCCUUAAUUUCCAAACCCCCCUUCAAACACUCUACCACCAUAUCCAAAUACCUCAUACCAAAAACCUAGAACCACAGAUUUUUGGCUGUGUGGUCUUUGUCUUCUUACAUAAUCACUAAAACAAUAAAUUGAAUCUCCGCGCCAAAAAGUGUGUUUUUAUUGGUUACACACCUCAUCAGAAAGGUUACCGGUGUUAUGAUCCUCCUAGUCAGAAGGUCUAUACUUUUAUGGAGUUGUGUUCUGAGAACACGACAUAUAUUUUUCAGCCAUACAGGAGGAGCAUUGCGAUACCAACACAUCUCAAAUUUCAAGACUUUUCCUUUCAGAAUGGUCACAUACUGAAAACGACCAGUCGCAGAAUGCAAGUGACCGGUCGCCGAAGACUCUGCCUGAAAACGACCGGUCGCCUAAGACUCUGCCUGAAAGCGAUCGGUCGUCCCCCGGAAAUAUGAAUCUGCUUUAAAACGACCGGUUGUCUCCUUGUUGUCAAACUCAGGAGGAGAACAUUGAGGAGUUUUUGCCCGCUCAGGAGAAUUCUUCAACUCCAGUACCCCACCAAUCACCUGCUGAGGACGUCAUUCAGGUAACCUCUUUUCCUGAAACUAAUAAUAUUAAUGAAAUAUCCCAUGAUGAUUUAAUUUCAAAAGGCAUAUAGCCUACAUAUUAGAUUCCAAAACGGAAGAACGGUGGAAAACCUUCAGUUCACUACGAAGCAGACCUUAAUGCAAAAUGGAAAUAUCCCAUCAACAAUUAUGUAUCCAUCAGCAGAUUAUCAGAAUCACGGGUACACUUUGUGAAGCAGUUGGAUGACAUACCUGCUCCCAACAAUGUAACUGAAACACUAGAAGACUCAAAAUGGAAAGAAGCCAUGAAUGAAGAAAUGCGAGCUCUCCAGAAGAAUGACACAUGAGAAGUCGUGCCAUUACCUCACGGAAAGAAGACUGUCGGAUGCAGGUGGAUUUAUACUGUGAAACUAAAAGUAGAUGAAUCCAUUAAAAGAUAUAAAGCUAGAUUGGUGGCGAAAUGGUACACACAAAGAUAUGGGAUAGACUACCAUUAGACUUUUGCCCCAGUAGCCAAGAUUAAAACUAUCAGAGUUCUUCUAUCUUUAGUAGCAAAUCUAGAUUGGCCAUUACAUCAGUUUGUUGUAAAAAAUGCAUUCUUACAUGGAGACUUGGAAGAAGAAGUAUAUAUGGACUUGCCACCAGGAUGUAACUUAGCUCGUGACAAGGAGAAUCAAGUUUGCAAGCUCAGAAAGUCAUUGUAUGGGUUAAAGCAAUCCUCUAGGGCAUGGUUUGGCAGAUUCACUAAAUCUAUGAAGAAUUUUGGAUAUAUACAAAGUAAUGUAGAUCACACCUUGUUAUUGAAGCAUGAUGGAAGAAGACUUACUGCACUGAUUGUUUAUAUGGAUGACAUAGUCGUAACUGGAAACGACACAGAAAAGCAAUUGAAACUGCAGAAAUAUUUGUCUCAGGAAUUUGAGAUGAAGAAUCUAGGUGAUCUGAAGUACUUUCUAGGAAUUGAAGUAGCUAGGUCCACAACUAGUAUAUUUCUGUCUUAAAAGAAGUAUGUAUUAGAUCUGCUCACUGAAAUAGGAAUGCUUGGAUGCAAACCUGCUGAUACACCCAUCGAGAUGAAUCACAAGUUAUGUGAAGACAUGGAUCAAGAACCAACCAAUAAGGAACAGUACCAACACCUUGUUGGAAGGUUGAUAUAUUUAGCUCACACAAGACCAGAUAUUGCAUAUGCUGUGAGUAUGGUUAGUCAGUUUAUGAAUUCACCCAGUGUGUCCCAUAGGAAUGCAGUUGAUCGGAUCUUAAGAUACUUAAAGUCAGCACAUGGAAAAAGGGUUAACAUUCUAAAAAAAUAGAGAUCUCAAAGUUGUUGGAUAUACAAAUGCUGAUUGGGCUGGCUCCGUUACUGACAGACGCUCUACUUCAGGUUACUUCACUUGUGGGAGGUAACCUAGUCACUUGGCGGAGUGAAAAACAAAAUGUGGUUUCUCGAUCUAGUGCUGAAGUAGAGUAUUGAGGAAUGGCUCACGGAGUUUGUGAAUUACUAUGGAUCAGAAGACUAUUGACAGAAUUGGGGUUUAAGCCAGGAAAGCCAAUGGAGUUACAUUGUGAUAACAAGUCAGCCAUCGAUAUUGCCCAUAGUCCAAUUCAACAUGAUCGAACUAAACAUGUUGAGGUGGAUAGACAUUUUAUCAAAGAAAAACUUGAGAAGAAGAUCAUCCGCCUACCGUUGGUAAAAUUAGAAGAUUAGUUGGCAAAUAUCUUAACCAAAGCUGUUUGUGGAAGAGUAUUUUCUGACUCACGUACCAAGUUGGGCAUUGGUGACAUAUAUGCACCAACUUGAGGAGGAGUGUCGACUUGAGUCUCCUAAUUAAUCAAGGAGGUUUACUUCCUUGAUUAAUUAAGGGAUUUACUUUCCUAUUUUUUAUAUAGUUGAUAAAUCAUUGUAUAAUUAGAAGAUACUUGCCUAAUUCUUUACUGUAUCUAAUUCCUUGUAUAGCACCCUGUAAACUCUUAUAUAUACCUCAUUAUGGAGAAGAAUAAAGUUAACCUAAUACAUUCAAAUCAUAUUCAUAUUUUAGCAUUCUCCUCAUCUCCUCUGAGGUCUCAACUACUCCAACUCGUGAGUUUCUCACUUUAAAUUAGUAAUUGUAUAUAUUAAAUUAGUAAUUGUAUCUUUCUUUCCAGUAACGAUUUGUAAAUUUAGGCACAUUUUAAUUAUAAGGUGCACUGGUCUUGAAAAUGAUUAUGCUUCGAACUCUUUUUCUACAUGAAGGGCUAGUGGUUGCACCUGCAUGGCUUAAUUUGCACCUUAUGAAAUACAAACCUAGCUAUGAUUGUUAUAAGUUAUGUAUAUUGAUUUUGCUUUAUAUAUAAAGUUUUUGUUUGUUCUCUCAGAGGAGAGUAUAGUGGUGGCGGAGCCACUUCUAGGCCAGGAGCGGCCCUGGUCCCUCUAUUUUUUUGACUUCUCUCCUAUACUAUAUAAUGUAAUAUAUACAACUUACUAAUAGACAACUUGUAAUUUAAAUUAAUGGCCCCUUUAAAAAUAAUUAGGCAUGACUAAUUUUGAAAAUUUUAGCUCUAACAUGUGUUUUGAACACUUAUAUGUAUUUGAUAUACUUGUGUUUUCUAUCUUAGCCCCCUCAAUCUUAAAUUUCUAGCUUCACCCGGUGAUGAUUUUCUAGAUGACCAUGGUGAUGGACGUGGAGGGUAUGGCCACAGACAUGGAGGGUAUGGCCACAGACAUGGAGGGUAUGGCCAUGGCCACCACGGCAAAGGGGGGCCUUGUGCUGCUAAGACUAAAACCAAGAAUUUGAUAACCUGUUAGUUUCUGUGACUUACGUUGCAGGUGUGUUGUAAGGGUAGUAGUACAAAAUAAAGUUGUUUGGUUGAGUAAUCUGUAUGAACUCUCAAUCAUAGACUCGACUCGUCUUAAGCUUGUUCUCGUGUUCUCUAUAAUGUACGCAUUGGAAUGUGUUCUCUUGUUAUGUGAUAAAAUGUGAUUUAACAUAUUAUGUCAAAAAUGUUUAGUAUGGCUUGGCUCCUUAAAAUUGAGGGGGAGCACAUCCUCACAACAAACGAGAUUUUGGCACUAGUUAAACUUCACAAAAAUUAAAAAAAAAAAAAAAAAAAGAGGUUAAAAGAACUCAAAAGAAAAAUAAAAUUAAAGGAAUUUGCCAAGUGCCAAAACUCUAUUUGUUUUGAGGAGGAACUACUCCUCAGUUUUAUGGAGCCAAACUUUUUCCUAAUAUUAAUGGAGUUCAUAUAUGACUCAUUUGUUUUGUGUGAUCACCAUUUGGUUAAUGAAUUGUGCACAAAAUUUAAUAGGAUACGGAUCAUCUGCUAUGAUUUUAGUCCUCUAAUAGGAUGGAUCCUACUUUGGAGCACAUGUGGUAUUGGUAGUUCCUACUCGCAUUUACAAAUACAUAUUGGUUGGUCCAUUAAAAUGCAAAUAUCACCUCUCAUAUCAUUAUGCGAACAUUGGGAACAAGAGUAGUGUUUCCACCGUUGACAAGGGAUUGGAAGAUCUAGCUCGACGGAAAAAUAAGGAGUAAAACUUAUAGAAGCAUGCAUGCCGUGUAUGUAUUGUUGUUAUCAUGGCGAUACUAAUUUGGCAAUUAAUUUUCUAAUGGGUGAAUUAAAAAAACAUUUUUAAUCUAUAUAUGUAAAGUUAAAUAUCCUUAUGGUUAAAUUUUAAAAUAACCCAUUUAAGAAAAAUUUCAAAACUCAAGUAUUAAUUCAUUUUGAAGGGACAGAUACAUUUAUUUAAAAAAUAAUAAUGAAAAGGAGAUAAGAAUUUAUGACCAACAAGAAUUCUAUAUAGAUUACUGUUGAGGCCCAAAAUUAAUGUCAUGAGAAGUCCAAGGAUAUUUAAAGCCCAAUAUACAAUAUAAUAUUGGCUACGCGUUAAUCUAAAUUGUAUUUUGGGAAGUUAUUCAUUAAAUAAAUAUAGAAAUAUUGUACAUGUCAUGCCAAGCAAAAUACAUUUUCCUAUGCUAAACCACCUGACAAGCUUAAGUGGACCCAAACUACAUAUAUGUAUGGGGAUUUCUGAGUGGGUUGUGGUAUGGAUAGUUAUAAGUGUUCAUAAAACCCGUUGAAGGACCAGACAAUGGAAGUUUUAGAGCUGCUUGGGAGUACAAAACUCAGACCCACUUUCCUGAGCCUAAUUACAUGGGUAAGUAGAGACAGAACUCCCAGCCUCUUCCAAAACUCAAACCCACUUUACUGCACACUCAUGGAAAAACCAACUGUUGAGCACUGUACAUCCCUCCUUGCAAUACACACAACGAAACCAGAAGAAGAACGGCAUGAGGCAAGCUCAUCCCCCAACUGCCGUAAACACACAAAGCCCAAGCCUUCCUCCAUUCUCUUCUUUCAUAACACCACUCCAAGCCCUGAACAUCACACGGAAAACCAUCCCAAAACAUCCCAACUCCCGAAAACACCACAUGCAUCUCACCUUCAACAUAUCUUAUUCCAAUCCAAGCAGCAAAAGCACUCUCUCUUACUAAAGCCUUCUACCUUUGAAGCAUGAGUAUAUAGAUAUAUAAAAAGGUAGAAGAGUACAGUAUUUGUACUGUAUUGACCCUUUGUUUGUCCAGGCGGUCUGAUAGAUGUUUUGAUAUGUAAGAUAACGAUCCAGAUUGAGCGCUAACUUAUCCAGGGUCGAUGAGGCCAACAAAGUUUACGAUAUUUGCCAUUUUUAAAUAGUCAAAUAGGUACCUAAAAAUAUGAAAUUCAAUUAAAUGAAAUUUUAAUUUAAAAGAAAGGGAAUUGUAAAAAAAUUGGAUGUUUAGAAUUACCUUAUGUAUACUGCAAUCACUGUGGAUCUGAUCUCAAUCAUGGAUGCAAGCUAUAAAAUAUCUUCAUACAAGAUGAAGGUAUCAUGCUCAUACCCAAACACUUCCCCUGGAAUGUUAACUCUCACGGUCUCGUUCGAAGGCAACUUGGUUUGGAAAAAUUGGCAUAGGGCUAAUAGAGGAGACAGCAAAUCCAGCUUUGAGAAAUCCUGAUUCAAUAAAUAAAGAAAGAACUAUAAGAUAGCUUGCAAAAAAGUAAAAUAAAUGACUCUAACUAAACCAUCCAAACCGUCGUGGUAUUAAAAUAUUAACGACGGUGAUUUGAAAAUACUGACGUAGUAAAGAAUCGAAACGACGGUAAAAAUAAACCGCCUUUGUGUCAACGUUCUAACGUCGCAAAACUAGAAAAAGGUCGUCUAGAAUAAAAUGCAGUGAAGAUGGCUUGUAAAACAAGUAAAACAAAUGACGCUGUUUUGGUUAUUGUUAAUACUUAGAAAGGCAGACAUUUGUAAGCUGGUAGAGAAAAGGAUCACAUACCACCAAGCUUGUUACGGCUGUUCUUUAUACAUAUUCUGUUUAUCUGUUCUAUUUGUACUUGUGAUGCAGGGCUUUUUGUUUCUGUUCCUCUUGUCACAAAGAAUUUUUAUUUUAUUUUUGUUUAAGAUAUUAUGUUAUUAUGUUCUUUAAGACAACUUACGCGGCUACGGUGUUCAUUGUUGUCAAGAAAAAUUAAUGGUCAUGACCGUUAGAAGUCAGACCAUUGAAAUCCAUCCUUUUUAUUUAUUUAUUUAUAUUUAUAAAUGUGGUCACAAUUUUUUUUUUUUUUAUAACACAAAGGCGAUAGUGUUUUAUUAAUUAAUGAGGAGAAAAGGGUAACAAGUACAAAAAAAUCAGACAAAGACCUAGCGGAUUAGGCGAGUACUCUACACCAAUUCAUGUUUUCACAAGCACUUUUUAAAUGUUUUCACAAUCUUAUCAGAAAUCUUGUCAUAUAUGGAAUAUUGUCUCUAAAUAGUAAUUUAAUUAAAUUAAACAAUACAUAGUUGUGGAAUGUAUGAGUGUUGUACCAUAGUUUUUCUCAAAAUAAUAAAAUAUGAAGGAUCAUAAAACUUAGCCUUAUAUGGUUGGAGAUGGAAAAAUUUAGCCAUGCACUAUUCUUUAAAAAAUUAAUAUUUUGGACGGCUAAAUUUUUAGCCCUGGACUACAUUUGGCCCUAUGACUGGAGAUGGCCUUAGAAUCCAUACACAAGUUUAACAUACACAUAUCCUUUUCACUUAAGUUUAACAUACAUGCUAAUGGGGGCUAACUCAGUGGAAAAUGACAUUGAUUUACAGACUAGAGGUCUUAGGUUCGAACCCCCAUAGCAUCUUAGUUGUGUGUGUAAGUUUAAACCAACGCUUGUAUUAAAAAAAAAAAAAUUUAAAAUACACAACCUAUUGUUGAUGAAAAAUUAGAAUCCAUUAAAAGGUCAUGUAUUAAAAGAAGUACCAUUUCUAUAAAAUAAUAAUAAUAAUAAUAAUUUAAUUCUUUUCAGUUAAAUUUUCCAAAAAUUAUAGUAGUUUUCUCUAUCACAUACCUAAGUCAAAAGUAAUGGAUAAUUUGAAUAUCUUUAUUAAGUAAAGCCCAAACAUAUCUUAGAAAUCGACAGUACACACUCAUUAUUUGAAUUUUGAAACACGGACUUAUCAAACCCAGUAAGGCCCUCCCAUAAGAAGCAAAACAAGCUCUAGUUCUUUCUUCUUUCUCAUACGUACAAUCCGGACUCAGGCAUGGUGGUGCCGGAUCAAUGAAAUAAAAGCAACACUAUCUUUCAUGACUUUUCCAACAUGUGUGAAGCCAUCUUCUUUUUUGUAGACGAGAUCCACCAUUCUUGUUAAAUUAAGAACAAGUACAAGGACAGGCAUUGGCACAGAGGUUGGCCUGAGGAACUCCUCGUUGAUAUCUUUCCACGAAUCCACAAUCUGUUUGUGGAACUCCUCUCUGCAGCUUAACUUAUAAAUGGGAUUCCCUAAAGUAUCUCGAAUUUCCAAAUUCCAAUUCAAACUCUUCACCACCAUCUCCAAAUACCUCCACCUCAAACCUUGAACCGCAGAUUUUCGGCUGUGUUGUAUUCGUACACUUACAUGAUCACCAACGCAACAAAUUGGAUCCGAGUGUAGAAAAGUGUGUUUUCAUUGGCUAUGCCCCAUAUCAGAAAGGUUAUCGAUGUUAUCACCCUCCAAGUCAGAAGGUCUAUACCUCCAUGAAUGUAGUGUUCUAGGAACACGAUAUAUAUUUAUCAGAAGCACAUGAGGAGAAUCUAGACCCAAAUACCCUGAAUUUUCUGGACUUUUUAACAACGGAAGAGACUCAGCAUCAAAGCAAUCGGUUGCCUUUCCAAAACGACCUGUCGCCUCCCUUUGAUAGUGCAAAAGAGGCGUCUCUACCUCAAAGUGACCGGUCGCCUCUCCCACACAACUGGUCGGCCCCCUAUAUUCCUUCACAAGCGGAGCCACUAGUCAAAACAACCGGUUGCUUUGCCCAAACAAUUAUCGAUUGGUAUGCUCUAUGUAUGUUAUUGUUUGGUAUAAUUCAUAUAUGACAGUUGACUAGUCAUAAGAGUAUUUGGUUAAGAUCUAGAGUGUGUGAAAUUUGUUGCGUUCUUGGUUGAAUAUCUUUUAAGUUUACCCCUCGUCACCUAAGUACCAAUUUCAAAACCAUAUGUAUAUUUUAGCAUAUUUUGCAUUUGGACCAGUAGCCACAUAACAUGAAGAGAAAUUAAUGGAGGAACAUCCACAACGAAAAGCAUCAAUUAAUUUAUUGAAUCUGAGGGGUACAGUUGUUUCUUCCCAACUUUUUGAACAAGAAUUGCAUAUUAAUUCAGUUAUGUAAAAGGUUGCAGGUUGGUGAGUCUGUGUAACGGUGGACAAGAUAUAAUGGGUGAAAAGUACGUAGAUUAUUCAUCAAUUGGUAAGAGGAAAUAUUUAAGCCAAUCAACUCAUCAAAUGUUAUUUUAUUCUACUAUUUUAUACUUAGGACACCUCAUCAACUCAUAUAUAGCAGCCCUUGAUACAUUAAAAAAAAAAAACAAAUAAAAAUACCACUUCAGCAGGCAUGGGUUAGGCCGGUUAACAGUGAGUCUGUCCCUUUACACUUAAGUUUGAAUUCUCCUUUUAUAAUUUAGAUUAAUUUAGAGUACUUUAAACUAUUACUUAUAUAUUUAUAUAUAUUAAAAAAAAUGUCAUUUGAUUCAGUUUUUAUACAUAAAAUAAAAUUAUGGACUCAUAGCAGCCCUUGGUACAUUAAAAAAAAGAUUAAACAAAAAAACAGCAGCCCACUAAUAGACGUUCCACUAUAAAUAGCACAAUACAACACCUCUUCAACUCAUAGCAGCUCUUGAUACAUUCAAUUAAGAGCACAUUGAUCAUUUCCUCGCACUUAGGAAUAAAAUGUCUGCUCAAGUUUUAGCUGCAUCCCAAGCUCAAAGCCCAAAUGCGAUUCCUGAUCAUUUUAAGCGAUGUUCAGCUAAUUUCUCUCCCAGUACUUAGGGCGAUUAUUUUCUGUCAUAUGCUUCUGUGGUAGGAAAUUAAUUAAUCCUAACAAUUAUUUAUGGGCUAAUAAUACUCAUCAUGUGCUAUAGCUGCGUCGUAUAUUUUGAAUAUUUUAUUAUUAUAAAUUAAUUUUGAUAACUUCCAUGCACCAUGAAUGAAGGUCAUACUUUCCUUAAUAUCCUUUUCAAUUUGUUCGUGUAGGAAACAGAUAUCAAAGCAGAGCAAGAUGUCCAAGAACUGAAGGAAAAAGUGAAGGGGAUGAUAAUGGCUCCAAUGCUUAAAAAUCCAUCAAAAAAAUUGGAGUUAAUUGAUGAGAUUCAGCGGUCUGGUGUCUCCCUCCAUUUCGAAAAUGAGGUUGAGGAAGUUUUGCAACAAAUUCACAAGAACUCUUACGGCGGUGAUGAAGAAAAUGAUUUUGACCUUUUCACAAUUGCUCUCCGUUUCCGGUUGCUUAGACAGCAAGGUUACAAGGUUUCAUGCGGUUAGUCCUCUCUCUCUCCCCGCGCUCAUAUGUUUUGUUUUAUAAUUCUAGAUUAAUUAAUUUUCUUCUUCUAUAAUUUUCUUCUUCUAUAUCUCUCUCUCCUCGCUCACAUGUUUUGUUUUAUCAUUCUAGAUUAAUUAAUUUUCUUCUUCUAAGCUAGCAGACAUUUUCAACAAGUUCAAGGACGAUGACGGGAAAUUUAAGGAAACACUUGUGGAUGAUGUAGUAGGACUGUUGAGCUUGUACGAAGCCACACAUCUUAGGAUGCAUGGAGAGGAUUUACUGGAUGAGGCGCUCACCUUCACCACAACUCAUCUUGAGUCAGUGGAAGCACACCGUUUAAGCCCCUUGCUUGCAAAACAAGUAACCCAUGCCUUGUAUCAACCAUUCUGGAAGGGCUGCCAAAGGCUAGAAGCAAGGCGUUACUUGGCUAUCUUUGAGGAGGAACCUCAUCCAGCAAAUGAAACUCUCCUAACUUUGGUAAAGUUGGAUAUAAACCUAGUGCAGCAAGUCCAUCAGAAAGAACUAAGUGAAAUUUCAAGGUUAAUUAAUAUACAUACAUAUAUAUUAGUGUUCAUCAGUAUACUAAUUAAGUUAUUAUUAUGUAAUUAAAUGAUAAAUUCAGGUGGUGGAAGGAUUUGGACUUUGUAAACAAGCUUCCUUUUGCAAGAGACAGAGUAGUUGAGUGCUACUUUGGGGCUCUGGGAACCUAUUUUGAGCCCCAAUAUUGCUUUGCUAGGACAUCAUUAAGCAAAGUUUUUGCUGUGACAGAAGCUAUUGAUGACAUUUAUGAUGUGUAUGGCACACAAGAGUAGCUAGAGCUCUUUACUGAAGCUGUUGAAAGGUGUAUUGAAAUCGAAACCCAAUUAAUUUAUAAGUUGUUUAGAUUAGUCAUUUAUCCUUCUCUAAAUACUGAAUAAGUCAUCACUAUAUCCAUCGGCGGUCCUGAGAAAUUGAGGGCCUUGUGUGAAACUUAAGCCCUCACAUAAUCUAAUAUAAAAAUACUAAAUUUUUUUUUGCCAUAACAUAAUGUUAUAAAACUAUUUUUUUAUAACUAAAAUUUAUCAUCAAUUAGCAUGUAAUAACAAAUACAAAUCAAUAAAUUCAUAAACUUUUUAAUGUUUUUCUUUGAUAAAAUUAAAUAUUAGUACAUUUGAUAAAAUAAAAAAAAAAGAGUUCAAGAGAAAGAAGAAUGAAUGAAUAUUAUAUCCAGUAGUCAAUUAUCCUUCUCUAAUUACUGAUUAAGUCAUCACUAGUCUAUAUCUUAUUAUUAACUUAUUUUAAUCAUCAGGUGGGACAUCUCAGCUUUGGACCAACUGCCGGAGAAUAUGAAAGUUUGUUAUGGAGCAAUGUUGGAUGUAUACACUGAAAUCGAAGAAAAGCUUGGAAAAGAGGGAAUUUAUAUCGCAUCCACUAUGCGAGAGAAGCACUAAGCCUCAUUAAUAUUUUUUAGAUUACAGAGUUGCAAGACCAUAAAUUAGUAUUCUAGUUAAUUUCCAAGUUUAUAUAUGCACAAAUAGUAGUUGAUAUCUUACAUUUCUUUGGGUCGGGCUUCAGACCUAUCUAGACAGAUUUGAGUGCGUGCUUGACUCAGUCUGAUCCAAAUAAAAAAAAAUGCCCGGGAAUGUAAGUUUUUUUUUUUUACUUUUUGGGUUGGAUGCUCUUAAUUCUAAUAAAAUAUAAAUUCUCAUGAUAUUAUUGCAUAGAAAGUAAUUAGAGAUCAUAUCUUGAUUUCGUAGAUGAAAUGAAUGGCUCCACCAGAAAUACACACAAUGGAUGAAUAUAUGGCAGUAGCACUUGGUACAUCCUACAUGAUGCUAUCAACCACGUCCUUCAUUGGAAUGGGAGAUAUUGUCACAAAAGAGUCCUUGGAUUGGGUUCUCAGUGACCCUAAGAUUGUGAACUCUUUAUCAAUACUUGGCAGACUCAUGGAUCACAUGAAGUCCCACAAGGUACAUAUUAACAUAAAUGCAACCUUUUCGUUUUUAUUUAUUUCCCCAUACCCCCUUUUAACCCUAAAUUCAUGUCUAUAUUGACGUAGUUUGAGCAAAAGAGAGGACAUAUUGCCUCAGCUGUGGAAUGCUACAUGAAAGAGUAUGGUGCCACAGAAGAAGAAACGAUAAUCGAACUCCAAAAACAAGUAAAUAAGGCAUGGAAGGACAUAAAUGAAGAGUGGAUCAACCUCAUCACCAUCCCUAUGCCACUACGAUUGAGAAUUCUGAAUUUUGCACGUACCAAUUGUAAUGACCCGGUCCUAAAUAAAUGUUUAAUUAUUAAUUAAACAUAAUAAAAGACCAUUUUGCCCCUAGAAUAUUUUAUUAGGUUUAAAUUGAAUUUUUGACCGGGGAGAAAUUUAGGAAUUUCGACUGUACCUUUGCAUAUAGCACAGUGAGAUGAGUUCAUAGACACGUAGCGGGCUCGAAUCGGAGUUGUAACAAGAGAGAUACGAUCAAAAUACCCUCAGUGGCACAAUCGUAAAUAUUGCAAAAAGGGUUUGAUAAAAUCUGGUUUCUCUCUCUCUUGAUAAAAUCUGGUUUCUCUCUCUCUCUCUCUCUCUCUCUCUCUCUCUCUCUCCUCCGCGCACUCUCUCUCUCCCCGAUAGCAGCCCCCUCUCUCUUUCUCUCUCUCUUCGAUUCUCUCAGCUCCGGCCACGGCAAGGGCCAGCACUGGUCCCAUUUGCUUCGUCUCGAUGCCACGGUCACAACCCGCCCCUUUUCUCGGACGGAGAGCUCGAGAUUUGCCGGCGAUAUCGACUGGUUUCUCUGGUUGUUCACGGCGUCGCUACGGCCAAUUCCGACAGCCAACUCCAGCAACCGAGGUACGAUUUCUCACCUAUUUUUCACGCUCUAGCUGCCUGUUGUGUAGGAAUUGCACGAUAUUCAUGUUUAGAAACUUGAUUUAGAAUUUAGGUUUUGGCCGAAUUUUCAAAGUGAAAUUUCAGCCACUUCCGUUGGUUUUUCAGGGUAUGUCCAAGAACAUAAAUGGUUCCAAAUAUGGUGUUACACCUAGGGUAGGACUCUUGAGCCGUGAUUCUGAGUUUUUCCGACAGUGGGUUAUCACUUUGGACACCCAUGUGCUGCCGGUGCGUGGGUACUGUAGAAAAGGGGCAUUGUGUCCCGAUGCGAUCCCUUUGUUGUCUCGAGGGCAUAGGUAUGAGUGAAUUUCAAUUUGGAUACCGUUUGAGUCUCGAACGGAUAUCGCAUAUUGUGCGUUAUCCGGGUUCAAUAGGUUUGAACUGUUGGAUAGUCCUGAAUUUAUAAUAUGUUAAUCUAGGCAUUUCAAGGAUUGUGUAGGAAUUCACGGAUCGUGAAUCGGAUCCCUGGAUGUUCCGAUUUAAUAACUUAAAGUUUAUAUUUUACAAUAACCGUCCGAUUAUGCGAUCGCGAGCGAUCCAACCGUUCGAUCAAGACCAAAGUUGUGGGACUUGUAUACUAAACCUUGUGGAACCUAUAGGAACUUUCAGAUCGGAAUUUGGAGGUCGUGGGCUCCGUUGACCCGUUUGACCAAGUAUGGGGUAGUUUGACCCUUGGUUGACCGUGAGUCUUCCAGGAUAGUUUCAUCUUCCUAGGAGGACUAAAAUGACCUUAGAGACAUGUCUUGAUCGCUAGUUGAGUUAUGUUGAUUAUGAGGGAUUAGGAUAUAAAUUUUAUUAUUUUAAAUUUGGAGAUUAUGGGAUGCUAUAUUGUGGUUGAGGUUUAUGCUAUUUUGGAAAUUAAUACAUACAUGUAUAUAUAUUAUAAAGAUAUAAAGAUGUUUGAUUUCACUAUAAGUACCAUCCUGCGAUUUUGAGGUCUCGCAUGGCGUAAGAUUUUCCGACGUUGAGACACACCCCAUACGUGGCUUUGGAUGUUCUGGCGUAUAGGGAGAUUUUGUGAUUGUAAGGUCCCACGUGACAUAGGAUUUUUCGGCGUGAGGACAAACCCCAUACGUAGCGUUGGAUGUUCCGACGUAUGGGGAGAUGAUAUGAUUGUUAGGUCACACGUGGCGUAGGAUUUUCUGAUAUGCUGACAGACCCCAUACGUGGCGUUGGAUGUUUCGGCGUAUAAGGAGAUUUUAUGAUUGUUAGGUCUCACGUGGCAUAGAAUUUUCCGACGUUGAGACAGACCCCAUACGUGGCGUUGGAUGUUCCGGCAUGGAGAUUUUGUGAUUGUUAGGUCCCACGUGGCGUAGGAUUUUCCAACGUGAGGACAGACCCCAUACGUGGCGUUGGAUGUUCCGACAUAUGGGGAGAUGAUAUGAUUGUUUGGUCACACGUGGCGUAGGAUUUUAUGGCGUGCUGACAGACCCCAUACGUGGCUUUGGAUGUUCUGGCGUUUAGGGAAAUUAUGUGAUUAUUAGGUCUCACGUGGCGUAGGAUUUUCCGGCGUAUGGGGAGAUUUUGUGAUUGUUAGGUCUCACGUGACGUAGAAUUUUUCGGCGUGAGGACAAACCCCAUACUUGGCGUUGAAUGUUCCGACGUAUGAGGAGAUGAUAUGAUUGUUAGGUCACACGUGACAUAGGAUUUUUUGGUGUGCUGACAGACCUCAUACGUGGCUCUGGAUGUUCCGGUGUAUGGGGAGAUUAUGUGAUUAUUAGGUCUCACGCGUGUCGUGAGAUUCUUCUGGCGUGUGAGACAGGCCCCAUACGUUGCGUUGGAUUUUUCCGGCGUAUGAGGAGAUUAUGUGAUCAUUAUGGAGAUGAAUGAAGAAUUGUGGUACUGCAUUGGAAAGAACUACGUGUGGCUUGAUCCCUUGGUGAGGGUAUGUAGGCAGCCUAGGAUAGUGCCUAGGUGCAGCCGCAGACUAAAUAUUAUUUUUGAGAUUGGUUCUGACCUUGUCAUUGGUCCUGAAAUUCGAUUGAAAACUAGAUGACGUAAAGUGUAUUUAGGCAUUCAUAUUUAUGUUUGAAAUUAUUACUUGCCUUGGUUAAGGUAUUAGUUGACUUAAGAGCUCUGUUGGUAGUUUAGUUUCAGAUUAUUUGAAGGCCGGAGACCGAUUAUGUGAAUUACAUGGAAUUAUCUUGUGCAUGCUGCCAGUUGUGGAUAUUAAAUGUGUUUUGUGCAGGUUGAAAUUUUUGGGAUUGUUCAAAUUACAGGGGAAACUUAGCCAAAAUUUCGGCAGAAAGUCUCGUGCCUUUAUUCCGUUUUUGAAUAAGGAGGCUAUAGUUUUAGUAAGUGGGCCCGGCAUCGGGGUGAUGUCGGAAUUUUCACAGGAUUCGUCUUGAGUUUUGAGAAAUUCGGGGCAGGUCCUGUCAUCAAUGAACUUAUGUACAAGCAUGAAGAUGGCUUUACUCAUGCUGGAGUUGUACUUAAGGAUCUUCUGGUGUCUCUGUUUGUCAACCCUGUGCCCAUAUAGGCCUAAAAUCAAAUUUGGUCUUCUUGUCUUUGCUAUAAAGAAUAAGGUCUCCACAAGUCAUGUCUUUGCUUUUUGGUUUUUAAAAAUAGUAAUUUGGUUUGUUUUGGGUCAUUUGUAGUCGUGGGCAUUACUCAGAAUAAGACUACACUAUUUGUACUGUACUGACCUUUUGUUUGUCAGCCCAUUUAGUACUUUAGAUUUUAUGUGUCAUAUAGAUUAGUUUGCAAUUGAUGUUCUGAAUAAAACAAAGUCGGGUUUGAGUCCAUAUUGUAUCAUUCAAUAGUUAUAUUUUUACAUUUCUACAUUUCUUUUUUUAUUGUUAACAAUAGGAAAAAAAAAACAAAAAAACAUGUCAAAAAACAAAAAAAGGAAACAUGUCAAAAAACAAGCUUUCUUCAAUAUCAAGCAAAAAAAUUUGUAGUGUAUGUUUUCACCCACUCAAAACAAAACAAAAAAAGUUCAUGUCUUCUUCUUUCUCUUCUAUUUUCUCAAAUUGAAACAUUAAAACUUUUAUGAAUUGGAUUUAUGAUUGCCAUUGCAUGCUAAUAGAUAAUGAAUUUUAGUUAUUAAAAAAAUUUAUAAUGGUAUUACCUCAUGGUAAAUUUUUUUAUAAAUAUUUUCAUAUUACAUUAUGUGAGGACUCUCGUUUAAGUUUUGCUCAAGGCCCUCAAAAUCUCAAGGUCGGCCCUGCUCUUUAUGCCCCUACAAUACAAACUUUUAUGAGCUGGACCAAAAUACAUGAGUUCCUCCGUAUACAUGUGUUACGUACGCAUAGCCCAAUCCACUUUUUAACUCCAUAGCCUAAAAGCCGAACUUCUUUUUUAGAAGUAAUUUUUGUACGCUCCGAGUACACCAUACAUGUGACAUGUGAAAAUAUUCUCUAAUACACUUGUAUUAGAUGGUACACGAGUCAACUUGUGUACACAGAAGAACAUAAAAAAUUUUCUCCUUUCUUACUAUGUAAGAAAUAAAUUAAUAUAUAAAUAACCGAAACAUAGAUAUUGGCAUAUUUGUGCAGCACAUCCUUCAACAAUCAGGAAAAAGAAAAAUAAAUAAGUAUCAAAUUAAAGAUUAACGACCUUUUCAAGUAGCAAAUAAAUGCAUUUUAUACUAAAAAAUCCUUUGUAAUUUAAACUAUUACUUAUAUUAAUAAAAAUAUACAAUUAAAUGCAUAUAUAAAUUAUUAAAGAAAUAAAUAUAUAGAUGGAUCAAUAUACAUGCACACAUUCAUAUAUGUCAAGUGAUCUUUAUUGUGUGUAUAUAUAUAUAUAUAUUUAUUUAUUUAUUUCUAUGCGUAGUCGCACAUUCCAUUGCCACAAGAAGUGCCUUCCUUGCAGUGGUUGGUGCACCUGCCACAGUUUUGAUUGUGAGACAUUGGAUUCACACAAUGAGCGUUGCGGCAUAUCUCUGAGCUACUGGCCCUGCGCUGCCUUCAGUUUCAAUAAAUAAAAGACAAAGUGAGAGUUUAUUAGAGCACUUUCAUCCAUUUGCCAAGACAAAAGGAAAGGGCUGUUACUAUUUACAUGAAUAGUGGCAACUCUUGUAAAAAGUUGUGGUGUUUUCACCCAUUGCCAUGACAACAACUAUUCACAUGAGAUGUGAUGAAAGAAAUUUGUAUAGAGUUUUGGUGUGGAAAGUGAAAAAUAUGACUAAGUAUUUAUUUUUAAAAAAUUCUAAAAUUAUUUGUAGAUUUUUUUCAAUUUUAAAUUUUCUGUUGCUGUUUCUGACGUCAGCAUACCCUGGCUUGAGCUCGAGCUAAUUUUGCCUGAGGGCUGGCUUGGUUUCGUAGGCCCAAGCAGUUGCCCUGAUAGCUUAAGGCCGCUGGAAUCAUGAAAAGGGGCUUGGGCCCCCUAUUGCCCUGGCAAGGACUGUCCGAUGGAAAGGCUCUUAGACACCAAACAAUGGACAUUUCAACAACUGGAUAGUUAGUGAGUCCAUAAGCAAUUCCACACUUUUCUUAAUAGAUACAUAUUUAUAUCAAUACCAUUAUUUCAAAUUUUGAUUACCAAAUAAUAGCGUAAGAUAUGAUAAUUUUUUAUUUGUUGUGAAUAAAUGAGAUCUAAUUCGGAUACACCAACACUAUAUUAGCCCAAAUAUGAAAUAGCAACAACUUUAAGAGGAUAUACUCUGCGAACGCUUGCCCCAGUAGAUUCAGUCAUGUCUAAGUCCUCCCCUCUUGCGCCAUCGGGCAGCGCCCAGUGAACUUGUGCACUAAAUUUGCCAAAGCAAUCUCUUGGACAGCCAUGGCAAACUGAAUUCCUGGGCAAACUCUUCUGCCAGCCCCAAAUGGAAUGUAGUGGAAGUAAUUGCCCUUAUAAUCUAUGGCACUGUCCAAGAACCUUUCUGGCUCGAACACCUCUGGUUUGUUGUAUGACUUGGGAUCUCUUCCAAUUUGCCACGCAUUCACUAUAACUUGUGUGUUGGCUUUAAUGUCGUAGCCAUUUAUUUGUGCAUCUUGGGUCGAUAGCCUGGGCAGUAGCAAUGGAAUUGAAGGAUGUAGGCGAAGAGUCUCCUUGAUAACUGCCUUCAAGUAGUGCAUUUCAACCAAAUCAUCCUCUCUAAUUAUGUCUGUUUUCUUGCCAACUAUUCCCCGGACCUCAUUCUGCAAUUUUUCCAUGAUUCUUGGAUGCCUUAAAAGCUCGAACAUUGUCCACUCUAGGAGUGUAAAUGAGGUGUCAGAGCCACCAACAAACACAUCCUACAAGAAUUUUAAUGGUAAAAAUCGAUUAAAAAUUAAUGGAAAAUUAUAUAUAAAACCCAAAAAAUUGGGGUUAGGAAUAACCCACGUGUUAUUUAUCUAUAUAUCUAUAUAUAAAAAAAAAGGUAAAAGGCUUUAAAAGUGAAACAUUCAAAAACCCUGAAAAUACUCGUGCUUCAAAGAAUUUUUGCUGCUUGGAUUGGAAUAGUGUAGUCUUCUAUCUUUUUAAUUAAGGUGCACUGGUCGUGAAAAUGAUUAUGCUUUGAACUCUUUUUCUGCAUGAAGGGCUAGUGGUUGUUCUCUCAUAGGAGAUUUUGGCACUAGUUAAACUUCAAAAAAAAAAAAAUGAAGAGGUUAAAAGAAUUCAAAAGAAAAAAAAUUGGAGCCAAACUUUUUCCUAAUAUUAAUGGAGUACAUGACUCAUUUGUUUUGUGUGAUCACCAUUUGGUUAAUGAAUUGUGCACAAAAUUUAAUAAGAUACGGAUCCUCUGCUAUGAUUUUAGUCCCCUUAUAGGAUGGAUCGUACUUUGGAGCACAUGUGGUAGUUCCUACUCACACUCACAAAUACAUAUUGGUUGGUCCAUUAAAAUGCAAAUAUCACCUCUCAUAUCAUUAUGCGAACAUUGGGCACAAGAGUUGUGUUUCCAACGUUGACAAGGGAUUGGAAGAUCUAGCUCGACGGAAAAAUAAGGAAUAAAACUUAUAGAAGCAUGCAUGCCGUCUAUGUAUUGUUGUUAUCAUGGCGAUACUAAUUCGGCAAUUUCUAAUGGGUGAAUUAAAAAAACAUUUUUAAUCUAUAUAUGUAAAGUUAAAUAUCAUUAUGGUUAAAUUUUAAAAUAACUCAUUUAAGAAAAAUUUCAAAACACAAGAAUUAAUUCAUUUUGAAGGGACAGAUACAUUUAUUUAAAAAAUAAUAAUUAAAAGGAGAUAAGAAUCUAUGACCAACAAGAAUUCUAUAUAUAUUACUGUUGAUGCUCAAAAUUAAUGUGAUGAGAAGUUGAAGGAUAUUUAAAGCCCAAUAUACUAUAUAAUGUUGGCUAUGUGUUAAUCCAAGCUAUAUUUUGGGAAGUAAUUCAUUAAAUAAAUAUAGAAAUAUUGUACAAGUCGUGCCAAGCAAGAUACAUUUUCCUAUGCUAAACUACCCGACAAGCUUAAAUGGACCCAAGCCACAUAUAUGUAUGGAGAUUGCUGAACGAGUUGUGGUGUGGAUGGUUAUAAUUGUUCAUAAAGCCCGUUGAAAAAUCAGACAAUAAAAGUUUUAGGGCUGCUUGGGAGUACAAAAACUCAUACCCACUUUCCUGAGCCUAAUUACAUGGGUAAGUAGAGACAGAACUUCCAGCCUCUUCCAAAACUCAAACCCCACUUUACUGCACACUCAUGGAAAAACCAACUGUUGAGCACUGUACACUCAUGAAUCCUUCUUUAAACAAACAUUCUAUAGCCUAUAAAUAGACCUUCAUCCCUCCUUGCAAUACACACACCGAAACCAGAAGAAGAACGGCAUGAGGCAAGCUCAUCCUCCCACUGCCGUAAACACAGAAAGCCCAAGCCUUCCUCCAUCACGCUUCUCUUCUUUCAUAACACCACUCCAAGCCCUAAACAUCACACAGAAAACCAUCCCAACUCCCGAAAACACCACAUGCAUCUCACCUUCAACAUAUCUUAUUCCAAUCCAAGCCGCAAAAGCACUCUCUCUUACUAAACUUAUGGAGACUUGUUCUCACACCAUAAGCCUCUCAAGCCAAGCUUCAUAUUGAUUAACUGAAGCAAGCUCCCAUGCGAAGCGUACAGUAUCGACAUAGUUGCUCUUUACUAGAGACCACUUCCUCUAGCAUCUUCUCCAGCACUAUUAAUUCCACUACUUACAGCACAUAGUUCACUUCAAGAAAAGCACUUCCAACGCAACAAAAUCAAGCAUAAUCAUUCCAGUACCUAUUAAUUGUACAUCAAAACCUGUAAGGAGCCACUGAAGAUAACCAAAUCACUCCCCUGUCUUAAACUCUUUCGGGGUGCUUUGGGGCCUGGUGCUGCAAACUCAGAAAGGGUAAAGGAGAUCUCAGUCCACCUCACAUUAGUCCAAUAAGCCCAUUGCAUCUCUCAACAAAAUAGACCCUCAUACAAAUGGCGACUCUGCUAAGGACUAGGCCAUUAUUCUUAGAGCGGCUCCUCAACAAUCACAAACUUUGUGAUUCGCACGUCACGCCACUGGGGGCUUCAUAAAGCAAGUUUUCCGUUGCCUUCUUCAAGUUCUUCCUGCAGCAGGAGAGAUGAAAUCGUUAAUUUUUCUUUGUAUUCAGUAUUUAUUGCUAAAAAAAAAGUUCUUUCGAUCAAUCAAGCUGCUAAAAAAAAGGAGUUAAGCAUCCAGGAGCUGUUGAUUUUAGUUUUCUUCCUGGAACAAUUAGAGAAAAACAAACCAAAUUCUACAACCAUUUGCUGACCGAAGUGGUUUAGGCUUCAUGCCAAGGAAAUUUAGAAAAACAAUAUAAAUAUCAGAGAGAGUGAAUCACUCAAACAGAAACCAAUCCAACAUCAAACAUCCAUCUGCCAACAAUAUUUUAGUCCUCCAUGGUUCUCCUUUUCUUACCAGAUAAAAGAAAAAAAAUGAACGAAAAGCAAAAGAGACAGAAUACAAAAACUUAUGUGAAAGCAUCUUCACUUGCUCUGCCCACAGCUCACCAAUCGUGGUCACAAGCACAAGAUAUGAAUUUUGCCACCAAUGCCUCAAGGGUUGAAACGAAAUAACCCCUUGCUAUCACCUUUCUCACAGCGAAAGGAAGAUUUUCUCUGCAAAUUUACACAGAUCGACCACCACCAUCGCUGCAGGACCAGCCAGCUUGCAAUAAACAAUGCAUGAAUCUCCACGUACGGCACCCACUUCAUGCGCCAAUAUUAUAAUCUUAGCCGUGUGUUUUUAUAGUGAGAGUGAGACAGGGCAUGCAACUACUCGCUCAACCCAACUCACCCUGCGCUAGAUUUUUCUUAUCUUUGAAUUAUUUGGUUUUCAGGCACCUAAGGCUUAAAAUAACUUAUAUUCUUUGAAAUUUUUUAUAGGAACUAGUUGUGGCAGAGGUGAUGGGUGGAACGCACCAAGUUAAUUAAAUAAAAACAAGGCUUAAAUUUCAAAAUGGUCUCUGUAAUUUACUUCAUCGGCCAAUUUAAUUCCCCUAUUAUCAAUUUGGCCAAUUUCGUCCAUGUGUUUAUAUAUAUUAGCAAAACUUCAUCCUUUCCGUCAAAAUUUCUGUUAAAACUGAAGAAAAAAAAUAUUUUAAAAUUAAUUUAAAAAACUGCAAUUAUUAUUAAAUAUUCAAAUUCAAUCUAAAAAUUGAAUUAAUAAAAAAAAAUUGCCUCCCCCAACCUCAACCACCUCCCAACCCCACCUAAACCACCAUUUUUUCUCUCGCACCUUCCUCUCCGGCAAAUUGCAAAGAACUUCGUAGCCAAUCAUUGCAGCGCUUGGCUCUGCCAGUUCAUCAUCCUUGUUGUAGCAGAAGUUGGCGACAUUCACACAAACAACAUGCACACUGUAGAUUCUAUAACCCUCUCGAACCCUCGUCGUUGUUUGCACCAAGACCACCGUUGAGCUCGAUUUCUCAACAAGAUUUGCACUCUGCUUUGUCUGGGCGUUGGUUAAUCCGAGAAGAUAGUCUAGGUUGGAGUGGGCUACUAGACCCCCCUUUUCAACCCAAUACAAGAACAUGACUUUUAAUAAUUAAGUUUUUAUUAUUAUUUGAAUUUGAAUAUUUACAUGACAUUUUUUUCUUAAGUUUUAACAGAAUUUUAACAGAAGGGACCACAUUUUUUAAAAUAUACAAAAACAUGGACUAAAUUAGCCAAAUUGAUAACACGAGGACUAAAGUGGUCAAUGAGUUAAAUUUGGAUCUAUAUCUAACUUUUCUAUUUUUUUAUAUACCAAAACUACCCUCAUGCUUUUCAAGAUAUUCUCAACUCUAAGUACCCUCCUCCUAUCUUUCUCCUUCUUGCCAAUCUCAUCAAAACCCAUCAGAGGAGCUUAUUCCCCCUCCUCAUCCCUACCCCCACAGUAGCCCCAUCCUCAUCCAUGUAGCAGCCCCACCCCCUACCGUGCCAAGGGUAGCAUUCAUAUGUUCAAUCAAUGCUUGAAAUGGUAAAAAUGAACAACAACAAAAUUAACGAUAUAGUUUGUGGUUCUAUUUAAUUCAUUCUCCCUUUCAAACCAGUUGAGUAAAGGCCAUUAGACCCACUAACAGGGCCUAGUCUCGUGGAAAAUAUUGUUAACUUGACAGGACCCGCCCCGAAUUUCCCGAAACCCAAGACGAAUCUUGUGAAAAUUCCGACAUCACUCCGAUGUCGAACCCAGUCACUAAAACUAAAGCCUCCUUUUCCAAAAGGAAUAAGGGCAUGAGACUUUCUACUGAAAUUUAGGCAGUCUCCCUUGUAAAUUGAACAUUCCCAAAAUUUCAACCUGCAAUAAAACACAAUUUAAAAAGCCAACUGCUAGCACACACAAUGUAAUAGCACACAGUUUACAGACAAGGCCUCCAGCCUUCAAAUAAAUCAAGGCAGAACAACUAGUAGUACUCUUAAGUGAAUUAAUAUACUGACAAUGCAACUAAGGAACUCAAAUAAUUUUACGAGUACCACUGCAGUCAACAUGAAAUAACUUCCCAAGUUUUCAAUCUGCAAAGACACAAUAAUACUUCUCACAAAUUUCUAGCAUGCAUCAACUACCAUCUAUGAAUUUUCACCAAUAGUCCCAGGGGCCUCGGCCCAUAAUACCAUAUAAUCAAACCUAAAAACAUGUAUAACGUUUAGUCAACAACUGCACCUAGGCGCUACCCUAGGCUGCCUACGUACCCUUACUAAGGGAUCAAGCCACACGUAGUUCUUUAUACUAAAUCCUAAUUCCAAACACAUACAAUACCUUUAUUCAUCUCUCUGUUAAUCACAUAAUCUCCCCAUAUGCCGAAACAUCCAACGCCAUGUAUGGAGUCUGUCAGCACGCCGAAAAAUCCUACUCCACGUGUGACCAAACAAUCAUAUCAUCUCCCCAUACGCGGCGUAUGGGGUCUGUCCUCACGUCGGAAAAUCCUACGCCACGUGAGACCUCACAAUCACAUAAUCUCCCCAUACUCUGGAACAUCCAAAGCCACGUAUGGAGUCUGUCGACACGCCGGAAAAUCAUACUCCACGUGCUACCUAACUAUUACAAUAUCUCCCCAUACGUCGAAAAAUCCAACACCACGUAUGAGGUCUGUCCUCACGCCAGAAAAUCCUACAUCACGUGGGACCUAACAAUUACAUAAUCUCCCCAUACGCCGGAAAAUCCUACGCCACAUGAGACCUCACAAUCACAAUAUCUCCCCAUACGCCGAAAAAUUCAACGCCACGUAUGGGGUCUGUCAGUACGCUGAAAAAUCCUACGCCACGUGUGACCUAACAACAAUCAUAUCAUCUCCCCAUACGCCAGAACAUCCAACGCCACGUAUGGGGUCUGUCCUCACGCCGAAAAAUUCUACGCCACGUGGGACCUAACAAUCAUAAAAUCUCCCUAUACGCCGGAACAUCCAACGCCACGUAUGAGGUCUGUCUCAACGCCGGAAAAUCCUACUCCACGUGAAACCUAACAAUCACCGGAUGGUACUUACACAGUGUAAUCAUCAUCUUUAUAUCUUUAUAAUAUAUAUAUAUAUAUAAAUUUCCAAUAUUGCCUAAACCUCAACCACAAUAUAGUAUCCGAUAUCCCCCAAUUUAAAACAAUAAAUUAAUAUUCUAUUCCCACAAAAUCAACUUAACUCAAGUAGCGGUUAAGACUUAUCAAUAAGGUCAUUUUAAUCCCUCUAGAAAGGUGAAACUAUCUCGAAAGACUCACAGUCAACCAAGAAUCAAACUACUCAAACUUGCUCAAACAGGCCCACGACCCCCAAAUUUGGAUCCGAAAGUUCCUAUGGGCUCUACAAGGAUCAGGAUACACUUCCUGCAAGUUUGGUUCAGAUCGGACGGUCGGAUCGCUCACGAUCGCACGAUCGGACGGUUAUUGUAAAAAUAGCCUUAGGAUUGACAUUUUCGGAGUGUCCGGGACUCCGUUUUACGAUCCGUCGAAUCCUAUACGAUCCUAAAGAUGCCUCGAUUGUCAUAUAUCAAAUUGGAGUUGAUCCAACGGUCUGAACAUGUCAAACCAGAUAACGCCUAAUAUGCGAUAUCCGAUCGACGAUCAAACGAUAACCAAAUUCAAAUUCGAGCAUCCCGUCAUGCUGGGGACGACAAGAGGGUUAUUUUGAAACUCUAAGAUAGGCCACCACAUGACCCACGUGCCACCCCAUGUGCCGGCAGUGCGUAGGUGUCCAAAGAAAUUUCCGGCGGCCGAAAAAUCUCCAAACCGCCGGCCAAGACUCCCAGGUUAGGUAAAUCACAUGUAGUGGAGCAACUUUUGUCCUUGAACCUACCCCAAAAAGUAGACGAAAGUGGCUGAAAACUGGCAGAAUUUCAAUCGCUUAUUUAACCGCCUAAACACAGAAAUUUCUCCUUUGCAACACAACCAUCAGCUAGAACGUCUCGAGAGGUUGAGAAAGCAUACCUAGAUCGACGAAAAUGGUGCCCGGAGGAGUCCGAACGAGCUCUGUGAAUUUUGGGUUAAAACCGGUCGAUUUUUGUCACUUUCCAGUGAGCACAGGUGGUUCCAGCGGCUGAGGCUGGUCGGGACGGAAAGAGUGAGGUGGCCUGGUUCUUUCGGGACCGGUACCACCCGAAACGGUGGCCGGAUGCGACGGUGGUGACCCAAAAUCCCGGCUGAUGAAUAGUAACAGGGGGGCUGUUUCUUGCGAAAGGAGAGGGAGAAAGAAGAAGAAAAAGAAGAAAAAGAAAAAGAAAAUUUAAAACUGCCCGGUUACUGUAGCACGACACUGUUUGCUACAGUACAAAUUUUAAAAAUUACCUUUGCAUCCUUUUUGUUUUCAGACUUUUCCUCUUUCGUUACAACUCAGAAUUGGGCGUGCCGCAUGUCUACGAACUCAUGUCGACGAGCUCUACUUAAUGGUGCCACUUACUUCUCCAAAAUCUUUUCGAAUCAGAAAAUAACCAAAAUACCCUUAUCCAAAGGGUAUAUUCGUAAAUUCAUAUUUAAAUUAAUUUAAUAAUUUAAUUGGGUAAAUAAAUUAGGGUCAGGGUGUUACAUAACUUGCAAACUAAUAGUCUCAUGUUCGAACUCUCAUGGCACCUUGGUAAUGUGCGUGAGAAAAUCCCCUCCUUAUUCCUAACUUUGGCAACCAAAAAAAAAAAAAAGAGUCAUCAGGCCAUCAUAUAAAUUCAUCUCUUGUUGUUCGAUCAACAAAAAAAACUCAUCUUGUUAUUUUUUAUUUCAAAAUUAUUUACAUGUAUUAUUUUAAAUAAUCACAUGAAUGCGUAGAAUAAUAUAAUAAUGUAAAUAUAUUGAAUUAUUUAUCAUUAAACAUCAGUAAAAUUUUAAAAAUAUAGACAAUAAAAUGUUAUUAUAUUGUAUGAUGUACUUGCCAUUUUAAGUUUUUUUUUUUUACUAGUAAGUAUACAAAACAUAUUUUAUUAUGUACAAGGCAUAUUAGUAAUCAAAUUGAUUUUGAUUCCUAUUACUGAAUACUUACAUAAGAAUGAUAUAAUAAUUAGUGGAAAAAAAAGAGGCCUGGUUUCAAACAAAGUACUAAUUACAUGAGUGGGAAAUAUAACUUCUGUUUACUUAUGUUACUCCAUUAAUAAAAUAAUAUAUUAAUUUGUAGCAACUCCGAUCUCUUGGACCAUAAGGGUCACCCACCGUUGGAUGUUAAUCUCCUUCUCACAAUAUUUAUAUACACACCAAUAUUUAUAGAGGAAAUAGGUAACAAAUUUCCUAAAACCCUUGCUAUAUAUUUCUGUCCUGAAAGAUUUAAGGAGCCUCAAAUUUGGAUAUUGCAACCACUUGAGACGUUAAUUAAUUAGACUUUAGAGAACGGUUAGGAUAUUGCAAUUUUUGGAUAUUAUAUAUCACUACUACAUUUUACACUUUGCGCGACGAAGUUAAUUUCGUCGCGCAAAAUAAAUUGUGGUCGCACAAAUUUCAACGCCACAAAAACUUCGUCGCGCAGAAUCCGUCGCGCAAAGAUCGUGAAGAAAGACUUUGCGCGACGAAGUUUUUUCAUUGGUCGCGCAAAGUUACUUUGCGCGACGAAAAAAUAUUGGUCGCGCAAAGUAACUUUGCGCGACGAAGAAAAGUGACUUUGCGCGACGAAAAAUAUUGGUAGCGCAAAGUUUUGCACGACGAAAUACAUUGGUCGCGCAAAGGUUUGCGCGACGAAAAACAUUGGUCGCGCAAAGUUUUGCGCGACGAACUACAUUGGUCGCGCAACUGUUUGCGCGACGAAAUACAUUGGUCGCGCAAAGUCUUAAAAAAAUUCCCGCGUCAAAUUUUUGGUACCCGCCCAAAUUUUUAGAGUUUUACGCGACAAAUAGUAACGUCGCGCAAAUAUUUGCGAGACGAAAUAUUUUUUGUUUUAAAUUUUUUUUAUUUGAAAUAAACUAAUUUAAUAGUUUGCGCUACGAAAUAUUUUUUCUUUAGUAUGAAUUUAUUUAUAUGAAUUUUUUCAAAUUUUUACUUUUUAAUUUAAUUUAAUUGUAUGAUUUCUUUUUAAAAUUACUUCAAUUUAAAUUGAUAUUAAUUUUUUCAAAUUUUUACUUUUUAAAUUUAAUUUAAUUGUAAGAUUUUUCUUAAUUACUUUAAUUUAAAUUGACAUAUUCAAAAUAAAAUUACAUAUGAAACAUAGUGAUCAAAUUAUCCAAUAAAUAUAAAUAUAUAUUCAAAAUGUACAUAUAAAUUAACAAAGUACAAUAAUAAAAUCCUAAUACAAGCGUAUUGUGGUGGUAGUGGCGGAGGAUAUGUUUUGAUAGCUUCCUAAUCCUCAACUUUAGCCGUCAAAGUCUCGAUGAUUCCCUACAAAAAAACAAAUAUAGUCAAAUAACAACAACAACAACAAAAAGAACGCACAAUCUCCCCUAAAAUUGUUAUACCACAAAUCCAACCCAAACUCCAAUCUCUCCCCUUUACUCAACCCCAAACCCCACACAAACUCAAAACUAACUCCAAAAACACAUAUUAAUGAAAAAAAUUUAAAAUUUGGAGAGAAUAUACCUUUUGGCAAGAUUGAGAGUGAGUGAGAAUGAGAGGGAGAAGUGAGUGUGAGAGAAUUAGAAAAGAUAGUGAUAGAGAGAUGAGAGAGUGAGAGAUAGUGAAAAGAUAGAUGAGAGAGUGAGUGAGAGUGAGAGAUAGUGAAGAUAGAGAUGAGAGAUUAAGUGAGAGGAGUUAGUGUGAGAGAAAGGGUGGGAUUUGGGGAAAGGGAAAGAGAGAGGAGAGGUAAGAGUAGAGAAAGAAAUUGAGAAAAUGGUGGAGGAGUUAUUUCAGUUUUAAAAAUCGUAUCACUUUGCGCGACGAAAAUAUGGUUGGUCGCGCAAAGUUUUGCGCGACGAAACAUAUUGGUCUCGCAAAGUUUUGCGCGACGAAUAUAGGAAUAUUGGUCGCGCAAAGUCUAAAAAAAAUUAUUUUAAAAAAAAAAAAAAAUUCCCGCAUCCCAUUUUUGGUACCCGCCAAAAUUUUUAAAUUUUUGCGCGACGAAAAAUAAUUAUUGGUCGCGCAAAGUCUAAAACAAUUAUAUAUAAAAAAUUCCCGCGUCCCAUUUUUGGUACCCGCCCAAAUUUUUGCGCGACGAAAAAUAUAUAUUGGUCGCGCAAAGUUUUGCGCGACGAAACAUAUUGGUCUCGCAAACUUUUGCGCGACGAAUAUAGGAGUAUUGGUCGCGCAAAGUCUAAAAAAAAUUUUUUUUUUUUUUUAAAAUUCCCGCAUCCCAUUUUUGGUACCCGCCAAAAUUUUUAAAUUUUUGCGCGACGAAAAAAACAUAUUGGUCGCGCAAAGUCUAAAACAAUUAUAUAAAAAAUUCCCGCGUCCCAUUUUUGAUACCCGCCCAAAAUUUUUGCGCGACGAAAAAUAUAUAUUGGUCGCGCAAAGUUUUGAGCGACAAAAAAUAUUGGUCGCGCAAAGUCUAAAGUUUUUUUUUUAAUUUUAAAAACCCGCGUCCCAUUUUUGGUACUCGCCCAAAUUUUUUGAGUUUUGCACGAUGAACUGUUGAUCGCGCAAACUUUUGAGAGACGAAAAAUUGGUUCGUAGCACAAUAUUUAUAAAAAUAAUUGUUAUGAAUAAUAAAAAAUAAAAAAAAUUAUUUUAUGAUUUAAAAUAUAAUUAAGGUGAAAGCUACUUAAUAAAUGUAUAUACUAUUCAAUUUCUUAAGUGUUAUACGUACAAAAUAAAUAAAUUUAAAGCUACUUAAUAAAUAUAUGUAUAUAAAUAUAUAUAUAUACACACACCAUUCAACGAUCCAACCAUAAGACUUGUUUGUAUAUACUUCAAGAUCGUAUACCCCAAAAAUCGCAAAAAACAAACAUUCAGAGAUCUAGUAACGGGACAAAACUUUUCGAUAGUUAUAAAUGAAAAAUCACGAUUUAACGGUUAUUUUAACUCCGAUUUUGAUGAUUUUUUUUACAGCUACACUCCUUGACCCUAUAUGAAUACAAUGACUGAAUUUGAUCUUCAAUUUAAAACAUUUGCACUAGUGGAUACCACAAAAUCUUAUGUUAUAUUUAACGAAAAUAUAAAUAAACUCUUAAUUGUUAGUGAAUAUAUUGUUUUGAUGGCAUAUGCAUUCUACGAAACUAGUUUCAACGAUCCAACCGUCAAACUUGUUUUUUUAUACUUCGAGAUCAUAUAUGCCAAAAAUUGGAAAAAAUAAAUAUUCAUAGAUCAAGUAACGGGACAAAACUUUUUGACGGUUAUAAAUGAAAAAUCAUGAUUUAACGGUUAUUUUAACUCCGAUUUUGAUGAUUUUUUACAGCUACACUCCUUGACCCUAUAUGAAUACAAUGACUGAAUUUGAUCUUCAAUUUAAAACAUUUGCACUAGUGGAUACCACAAAAUCUUAUGUUAUAUUUAACGAAAGUAUAAAUAAACUCUUAAUUGUUAGAGAAUAUAUUGUUUUGAUGGCAUAUGCAUUCUAUGAAACUAAUUUCAACGAUCCAACCGUCAAACUUGUUUUUUUAUACUUUGAGAUCAUAUACGCCAAAAAUCGGAAAAAAUAAACAUUCAAAGAUCAAGCAACGGGACAAAACUUUUCGACGGUUAUAAAUGAAAAAUCAUGAUUUAACGGUUAUUUUAACUCCGAUUUUGAUGAUUUUUUACAGCUACACUCCUUGACCCUAUGUGAAUACAAUGACUGAAUUUGAUCUUCAAUUUAAAAUAUUUACACUAGUGGAUACCACAAAAUCUUAUGUUAUAUUUAACGAAAAUAUAAAUAAACUCUUAAUUGUUAGUGAAUAUAUUGUUUUGAUGGCAUACACAUUCUAUGAAACUAGUUUCAACAAUCCAACCGUCAAACUUGUUUGUUUAUACUUCGAGAUCAUAUAUGCCAAAAAUCGGAAAAAAUAAACAUUCAUUGAUCAAGUAAUGGGACAAAAGUUUUUGACGGUUAUAAAUGAAAAAUCAUGAUUUAAUGGUUAUUUUAACUCCGAUUUUGAUGAUUUUUUAUAGCUACACUCCUUGACCCUAUAUGAAUACAAUGACUGAAUUUGAUCUUCAAUUUAAAAUAUUUUACACUAGUGGAUACCACAAAAUCUUAUGUUAUACUUACGAAAGUAUAAAUAAACUCCUAAUUGUUAGUGAAUAUAUUGUUAGUGAACAAAAAAAAACUAGUUUCAACGAUCCAACCGUCAAACUUGUUUGUUUAUACUUCGAGAUCAUAUACGCCAAAAAUCGGAAAAAAUAAACAUUCAGAGAUCAAGUAAGGGGACAAAACUUUUCGAUGGUUGUAAUGAAAAAUCACGAUUUAAUGGUUAUUUUAACUCCGAUUUUGAUGAUUUUUUACUGCUACACUCCUUGACCCGAUAUGAAUACAAUGAACUAAUUCGAUCGUCAAUUUAAAAUAUAUAUUUUCUAACAAAAACCCAAUCCGAACAACAAUAAUAUAUUUUUCUAAUAAAAAUCCGAUCCGAUCUAAAAUAAUAAGUUUAAAGCUACUUAAUAAAUAUAUAUACCGUUUAAUUUCUUAAGUGUUAUGCAUACAAAAUAAAAAACAAAAAUAAAUUGGUUUAGGUGACAAAAUGUUUGGAUUACGUCAUGCAAAGAUUCUAAAAAAUAAAUUUUUUAUUCUAUUUAUUUUUGUAAGGACUUUGCGCGACGAAAAGUAAACUUCGUCGCGCAAAGUCACUUUGAGCGACGAAUUAUUUUUCAUCGCGCAACAUUGGUCGCGCAAGACUUUGAGCGACGAUGUAUUGUCGUCGCGCAAAAGUUUGUAGCGCGAAGUGAGUUUGCGCGACGAAUUAUUUUUCGUCGCGCAAAAUUUGGUCGCGCAAGACUUUGAGCGACGAAGUUUCAAGUUUCGUCGCGCAAAGUAACUUUUAGCGACGAAUAAUUUUUCGUCGCGCAAAAUUUGGUCGCGCAAGGGGUUUUUUUUACUAGUGUAUUCUUUCUCUACUUUACCUUAAUGACUCAUAAUUACCCACUAGCACUGUAACACAGCUUCAAGUUGAAGCCAUGGCAGAGGCGUGGGAGGGGAGAAAGACUACGUAUUUUUAUAGUGUUAUCUCCGACUAAUAAUACCAUAGCAUUCAUGAUAAUACUUCGAUGUGGCAUAACAUUAUUGGCCGAAAAUAACAAAACAAUACUAUCUCCAUUACAACUACGUUUUUAUCCGUGGGCUGCUCUUAGGCUUAUCUAGUCUUUAAAAUGCAGUUGAAGAAUUUAUUAUUAUGAAAAUGACGUGAGAGAGAGGGAGGGGGUCAUAUAUUUUCAGAAUAAUUUUGCUAAAAAACGAAAGCAGAAGAAUUAAUUAUUAUGAAAAUGACGUGUAAUAAAACCACAGGUUGUGUGACAUUGCCGUACGGUACAUGCAGUCGGUGAGUCCACAGAUGACCAUGCAUUUGUUUUGAGUCGGAUUAAGCAGUGAAUGGGGGCACUAGUUGUCCAUCUUUAUAUGACCCAAUGACUUAAGAUAUCUAUAUGCAUACAGACUUUGAGAAAGCACAAAUAGUUUGUGGACAUGAGCGAUAGAUACUGUGGUUUUGGAUUAUCAACAAUGACAGUGUGAACGACUUUUCUUCAUGGUGUGCUUUAGCUACAUCUUCUACGCUUCUGCAUUGGUCACAUUCAUGUAAUCUUGAACAUGAAGCAACGUACCACAAAGGCUACCAAAACUUUAAUAACUGUGGACCAGAAGGAAGCAGUAUAUAGGUCCUACUACCUGUGCAUUUUUGCUGACUAAUAGUUUGAUGCUUAAGGUAAAUCCAAUACAAUUAGUGUAAAUGUCAUUUUACUAUAUAAUUAGGUAUAUCCAAUACAAAAUAAAUCUUUAAUCUUGAACAUAUUUAUAUAGGGGAUUCUAUGACUCACAAAGAAAACCUACGGAUACAUUUGUGUUUAUGUUUAAUCUCAUUUUCUCUUUUGUAAUUCCAUCUACUUUUCAUAAGAGUUUGUUUGAAACAAUUUAUAUAUAAAAACUACCCUUGUUUUUAGAUGAUUAUUGUGGUAGGAUGUAAUCAACAAAAUAGACAAACACGGUAUUUCAAGAAAAGACUAUAAUAAAAACUAUCUAAUUGAAUGAUCAAAUAGUUUCGGAUCCAAUUGAUUGUCACAGAAAUGAUCUUUGAAGAAAUAUCUAAAAACUAGAUGGUAUUGGAUUAUUGAAAUGCAUGGUGAGUCUUAUAAGGGUGUCUUUCAAAUAAACUUAUUUGAGAAAUCCCUCAACUAAAGCCAUAUCAGUCUCCUUCUCACAAUAUUUAUAUACACACCACACCUUUUGUGAAAAUCUAAAAAUGCUAAAUUAUGAAUGAAAACUGACAGUUAAAGAACUCUCAUGAUCACUCUACAAGAUUGUGACCUGAAUGAUGAAUCAGCAGCUUAAGUUUCACCCCAUUAAUAAAAUCUUUUGCCGUUCCCAUCCCACCUCUAAUAAAAGCUUACUUAAUACGUAGUCCCAUCAACCCCUACCAUCAAAGUAAGGGUUGAAUUUGGCGCUCUUUAGCCUUUAAUCACCACAAGAGUCACAAAUUCUUCUCUCUCCUUAUCUUUCCAACCCCACUGAUAUCUCAGGCAGCUCUAUAAAUAGGAAGAACCAAGCCAUAUUAUACUCACUCAGCAAUCAUCUCUUGCAUACUUUCAUAUAUACAUUAUUGUGCUUCUUGUUAAGCAAAACAUGGCAUCCUCAAAGGCUUUUCUUCUUCUUGGUCUUGUCUUUGCUGUUCUCCUCAUCUCCUAUGAGGUCUUAGCUAUUCCAACUCGUGAGUUUCUCACUUUCUUAACUAAAUCAUAAAUAUUAAAUUAGUAAUUGUAUCUUUCUUUCCAGUAACGAUUUGUGAAUUUAUGCACAUUUUAAUUAAGGUGCAUUGGUCGUGAAAAUGAUUAUGCUUCGAACUCUUUUUCUACAUGUAGGGUUAGUAGUUGUUGCACUUGCACGGCUUAAUUUGCAUCUUAUUAAAUACAAACUGAUCUAUGAUUGUUAUAAGUUAUGUAUAUUGUUUUUGCUUUAUAUAUAAAGUUUUUGGUUGUUCUCUCAGAGUCAGAGGAGAGUACAGUCAACGGUGAUGCCCGCGGAUUUGGAGGUCAUGGCCGCGGAUUUGGAGGUCAUGGCCCCGGACAUGGAGGUCAUGGCCCCGGACAUGGAGGUCAUGGCCCCGGACAUGGAGGUCAUGGCCACGGACAUGGUGGUCAUGGCCACGGACAUGGAGGUCAUGGGCACGGACAUGGAGGUCAUGGCCACGGACAUGAAGGGUAUGGCCACGGACAUGGUGGAUAUGGCCACGGCCACCACGGCCACCACGGCCACCAUGGCAUAGGGAGGCCUGGUGCUGCUGAGACUGAAAUCAAGAAUUAGAUAACCUGUUAGUUUCUGUGACUUACGUUGCAGGUGUGUUGUAAGGGUAGCAGUACGAAAUAAAGUUGUUUGGUUGAGUAAUCUAUAUGAACUCUCAAUCAUAAACUGUCCUAAGCUUGUUCUCAUGUUUCUCAUGUUCUCUGUAAUGUACGCAUUGUAAUGUACGCAUUGGAAUGUGUUCUCUUGUUAUGUGAUAAAAUGUGAUGUAACUUUCUCAAUACAUAUUAUGUCAAAAAUGUUUAGUAUGGCUUGGCUCCUUAAAAUUGAGGGGGAGCACAUCCUCAUAACAAAUGAGAUUUUGGCACUAGUGAAACUUCAAAAAAAUAAAAAUAAAAAGAGGUUAAAAGAAAUCAAAUGAAAAAAAAAAUUAAAGGAAUUUGCCAAGUGUCAAAACUCUAUUUCUUUUGAGGAGGAACUGCUCCUCAGUUUUGUGGAGCCAAACUUUUUCCUAAUAUUAAUGGAGUUCAUGUAUGACUCAUUUGUUUUGGGUACCAAAUUUAAUGAAUUGUGCAUUCAUUGGUGGACCCAUAAGCAUACAGUUUUUAAUUUAGGUGAGAUACUCUCGGCAAUUUAAAUCAUGUCAAAAACAUGAUAUCAAAAAAAAUCAGCCAUCAUCGAGUUUGUAGAUAAAGAAAUAAUAUAUAUGAAUGAACGUAAGCUAUAGAGAAGAACAUUACCAAGAGCUUUCGUGCUGAUAACGUAUUGUGAAACUAGAAAUUUGUAGGGAGAAAUAAGAGGAAGAAAGGGAGUAUAAUUUGCUCAAAUAAACUUGUAUUCCAUUCAUAUUUGGUGCCACUAUUUAUAGGGGUAGAGAGGCCUAAAUCAUUUACCACCAAUAAUUGAUAGGUGACAAAUAUAUAAUGAUGAGUAUUAUGAUAGGUUAAUAGUGGCUAUUAUUGUGAGCAUCCAUAACCUAUAAACCAAUAACAUAUGGAUUUAUAACACAAAUACGUUUAUUAAAUAAACAAUAAUUAAAAAGUAAAAAGAAGAUAAGAGUCUAUGUCCAACAAGAAUUCUAUAUAGAUUACUGUUGAGGCCCAAAAUGUCACGAGAAGCUCAAGGAUAUUUAAAGUCCAAUAUAACAUAUAAUGUUGGCCAUGCGUUAAUCCAAGCUGUAUUUUGGGAAUUAAUUCAUUAAAUAAAUAUAUAAAUAGUGUACAUGCCAUGCUAAUCAAAUAUUAUAUUUUUCUAUGCUAAACCACCUAACAAGCUUAAGUGGACCCAAGCCACAUAUAUAUUUAGGGCUUGUUGAACGGAUUGCGGUGUGAAUGGUUACAAGUGUUCAUAAAGCUUGUUGAAGGAUCACUGUUUUACAGCUGCUUGGGAGUACCAAAAUUCAUACCCACUUUCUUGAGCCUAAUUACAAGAGUAAGCAGAGAGGGAACUCCCAGCCUCUUCCAAAACUCAAACCCACUUUCAUUACUAUGCACAUAGUAAUUACUGCACACUCAUGGGGAAACCAAUUGUUGAGCACUGUACACUCACAGAUCCUUCCUUACACAAUCAUUCUUCAGCCUAUAAAUAGACCUUCAUCCCUCCUUGCAAUACACACGCCGAAACCAGAAGAAGAAUGGCAGGAGGCAAGCUCAUCCUCCAACUGCCGUCUACACACAAAGCCCAAGCCUUCCUCCAUCAUGCUUCUCUUCUUUCAUAACACCACUACAAGAGUCUUGAACAUCACACGGAAAACCAUCCCAAACCAUCCCAACUCCCGAAAACACCACAUGCAUCUCACCUCCAACAUCUUAUUCCAAUCCGAGCAGCAAAAGCAUUCUCUCUUACUGAACUUAUGGAGACUUGCUCUCACACCAUAAGCCUUUCAAGCCAAGCUUCAUAUUGAUACACUGAAGCAAACUCUCAUGCCAAGCGUACAGUAUCAACGUAGCUACUCUUCACCAGAGACCACCUCCCUCUAGCAUAUUCUCCAGCGCUAUUAAUUCCACUACCUGCAUCACAUAUUUCACUUCAAGAAAAGCACUUCCAACACAACAAAAUCAAGCACAAUCAUUCCAGUACCCGUUGUACAUGCAUCAAAACUUGCAAGAAGCCACUGAAGAUAACUAAAUCACUCUCUAAGUCUUAAACUCUUUCGGAGUGCUUUGGGGCCUGGUGCUGCAAACUCAGAAAGAGUAAAGGAGAGCUCAGUCCACGUCACACCAGUCCAAAAAACCCAUUGCAUCUUUCAACAAAAAAGACUCUCACAUAAAUGGCAACUUUGCUAAAGACUAGGCCAUUAUUCUUAGAGUGGGUCCUCCACAAUCACAAACUUUGUGAUUCGUAAGUCACCACUGGUGGCUUCAUGCAAAGCAAGUUUUCCGUUGCCUUCAAGUUCUUCCUGCUGCAAGAAAGAAGAAAUCGUGAAUUUUUCUUUGUAUUCAGUAUUUAUUGCAAAAAAAAUUGUUCUCUCGAUAAAGCAAGCUGCAAACAAAAAAAAAAAAAAAAAACAACGAGUCAAGCAUCCAGGAGCUGUUGAUUUUAGUUUUCUUCCUGAAACAAUUAAAGAAAAAACACACAACCAAAUUCUACAACCCCUUUCCGUGACAAGGGUAGCAUUCAUAUGCUCAGUUAAUGCUUGAAAUCACUAGCGGACCCAGAAAUUUUUUAGCGAAUGUGCAAUAUUGACUAAGUAUGAAAAAUGGUUUUUCGAAAUAAUCAUUUUGUCAAGAUAAUUUUUAGCCGCUUUUAUUUCUUACACAUCAAAUAAGAAAAUUUGAUUUUAUGGGAUUUUAGUAUAUAUGAAGUAUAUAUUGACUUAAUGAGCCAUCAUUUUUAGCUUAAAUCGUAUUUUGCACUAAAAUCGAAUUUUCAUAUUUUGAUUUGGUGAGAAUUUGAUUUUCUAGUAUUUUUAUUUGAAUCCAAAUGGGGGGUACUUUCUUAUUUACAUUGUAAACUUAAGUAAAUGGAGUAAUAUAAAAAUAAAUAAAAGUAAAAGGACAAAGACAUUUAAGUAAGGUAAUUUGUACAUCAAUUGAGCAAAUGAGCAAUUUGAAGCACCUACAAUGGUUUUUCCGGCAAGGGGAGGUGCAGCUGCACCUCCUUGCCCCUUAAUAGGUCCGCCUCUGCUUGAAAUGGUAAAAAUGAACAACAACAAAAUUAACGAUAUAGUUUGCGGUUCUAUUUAAUCCAUUCUCCCUUUCAAACCAGUUGAGUAAAGGCCAUCAUACCCAUUAACAUGGUCUAGUCUCGUGAAAAAUAUUUUUAACUUGCAAACUAGUAGUUUCAUGUUCGAACUCCCAUGACACCUUGAUAGUGUGUGUGAGAAAACCCCCUCCUUAUUCCUACCUUUGGCAACCAAAAAAAAAAAAAAAAAAGUCAUCAGGCCAUCAUAUAAACUCAUCUUGUUGUUUGAUCAUAUAUAUUAAUGUAUUUGAAUUCUUAGAAUAAUAUAUUAAUGUUAAUAUAUUUGAUUAUUUAUCAUUAAACAUAUUUUAUUAUGUAACUAUACAAAACAUAUUUUAUUAUUUACAAGGCAUAUUAGUAAUCAAAUUGAUUUUGAUUCCUAUUACUGAAUACUUAUAUAAGAAUGAUAUAAUAAUUAGUGGGAAAAAAAAAGGGCCUGGUUUCAGACAAAGUACUAAACAUGAGUGGGAAAUAUACUAAACACAAUAACUUCUGUUUACUUAUGUUACUCCAUUAAUAAAAUAAUAUAUUCAUUUGUAGAGGAAAUAGGGAUCAAAUUUCCUAAAACUCUUGCUAUAUAUUUCUGUCCUGAAAGAUUUAAGGAGCCUCAAUUUUGGAUAUUGCAACCACUUGAGACGUUAAUUAAUUAGACUUUAGAGAACGGUUAGGAUUUUGCAACCUCUUUGCAAUUUUGGAUAUUAUAUAUUCUUUCUCUACUUUACCUUAAUGACUCAUAAUUACCAACAAGGACACUAGCACUGUAGCACAGCUUCAAGUUUAAGCCAUGGCAGAGGCGAGGGAGGGGAGAAAGACUUCUAUAUAGUGCUAUUCCUGACCAAUAACGCCGUAAUAUUCGUGAUAAUAUUUCGAUGUGGCAUAACAUUAUUGGUCGAAGGUAACAAAACAAUAUUAUCCCCGUUGUAACUAAGUUUUUCUCUGUGGAGCUACUCUUAUUAUGAAAAUGACGUGAGAGAGAGGGAGGGGGUCAUAUUUUCAGAAUAAUUUUGCUAAAAAACGAAAGUAGAAGAAUUAAUUAUUAUGAAAAUGACGUGUAAUAAAACCACACGUUGCGUGACAUUGCCGUACAUGCAGUCGGUGAGUCCACAGAUGACCAUGCAUUUGUUUUGAGUCGGAUUAAGCAGUGAAUGGGGGCACUAGUUGUCCAUCUUUAUAUGACCCAAUGACUUAAGAUAUCUAUAUGCAUACAGACUUUUAAAAAGUAGAAGCAAUACAGCCUUAGAAAGGCAGUGCGUGCAUGGAAAAAGAUUAUCUGGUCCCAAUUUGCAUAUUUAUUAUUAGGUAAAAUACUUUGAAAAAGCACAAAUCGUCAUAGUUUGUGGACAUGAGAGAUAGAUACUGUGGCUGGAUUGUCAACAAUGACAGUGUGAACGACUUUUCUUUAUACUGAAAUAAGAAGUGAACGUGAAUAUUUCUUUCCUAGUACAAAAGAUUGACAGCUACAAUUUAGCAUUCCUAUUCUGGUUAACCACUGAUUCGUAGGAUCUAGAUACAAGGAGAAUUGUAGGUUCAUCUCCUAUAUAUGUUGCUGUACAUUCAGAAUUGUACAUUAUACAAAUAUAUGAAAUACCAGUUUCUUUACAUGGUACCAGAGCCUCCUUUUUUUUCUUCACCAUAAACAUCAAUGGCACCAGACAACGAUGCCAAACCAGUUGACAGAGAGAAGUCCUCAUCCACAACCGAUAGAGAUGCAUAUGACUCUACCGAUCCCUACUGCAUACACCACUCAGAUCAUCCCGGCAUGAUAUUUUCUUCCAUGCCACUGACUGGUGAUAACUACAGCACUUGGAGUCGUAAAGUAUGAAUUUCCUUGAGUGUGAAAAACAAAACAGGCUUUAUUGAUGGGUCCAUUGUGAAGCCAUCCCUCACCAAAAAACCUAUAGAGUAUCAACGAUGGCAGAGGUGUAACGACAUGAUCUUGUCGUGGAUUCUCAAUUCUUUGGAUCCUGACCUUGCUAAUAGUGUUAUUUAUGCUGAGACAGCUCAUGAAGUUUGGACUGAUUUAAAAGAACGAUAGAGCAACGCUCCUAGGAUUUUUCAGAUUCAAUGCAGCAUAGCGACACAUACGCAAGAUCAGAUGCCUCUGGCAACAUAUUAUUCAAAACUAAAGAGCUAUUGGGACGAACUGGGUUCCUACAAUGAUACAGAAGUUUGCUCCUGUGGAGCAAUUAAAGAAGUCGUUGGCCGAGCGCGAGAAACAACAACGCUUGAUGCAAUUUUUGAUGGGACUAAAUGAAUCCUAUGCAGCGAUCCGAGGGCAGAUUCUCCUUAUGGAGCCCUUGCCAUCAUUUAGAAGGCAUAUUCCCUACUUUCACAGGAAGAGAAACAACGUGAAAUCACCACUACCCAUGCAAAUACAAAAAGCAUGGCCAUGUUAAGUAUCCACAAUAAGAAAGGGGGUUCUUCUAAACCCGCUUAUCAAUUCCGCUCAUAACAAGGACAGAACUCACAACCUCGUUCCUCUUUUCGAGGGAGCCAAAAAGAGACUCGACGUUGCACUCACUGCAAUGGAGAUACUCACACCGUUGAUACUUGCUAUUAUCUCAAAGGGUUCCCUCCAGGACAUAAGUGGCACAACAAAGAAGUCUCUCUGCCUGAUAGAGGAAGCAGUUCACACCAAGGAAACCAAAGGAAGUCACAUGCUGCCAAUAAUGUCCAAAACUCAGAUUCACAAGUUCAUCAUCUCCAGUCCAUCGCGCCCCACCUUACACUAGACCAAUGCCAACAAAUUAUGGGCGCCGUAGGUAAAGAAGAUGUUUCACAAACCCAAGUAAAUUUUGCAGGUCUGUCUCCUUCUUGUCUAUUUUCUCAAAAGCAAUCCAAUUUAUUGCAUGCUUGGGUAAUUGAUAGUGGUGCUACCGACCAUAUCACUAAUUCACAUGACUUUCUAAUUGACACAUCUCCAUCCUCCAUGUCCCCAGUAGGAUUGCCCACAGGGGCUAAGGCACCCAUAAAAUCCACUGGCAAAAUCACUUUUGAUGGAAAUUUGUGUCUAACUGAUGUUCUUUGUGUUCCAUCCUUUAAUGUUAAUUUGAUGUCAGUUCCCAAACUCACAGAGUCACUUAAUUGUUGUGUUGUGUUCUUUCCCAAUUUUUGUUAUACACAGGACUUGGUUAAGAAGAAGAUGAUUGGAUUGGGUAGGCGGCAUGGCAACCUAUACUAUUUUGAUCCAAACUAUAUUUCUCAUAAGCCACCAUCCUCCUCACACCAUGUGUUAUCUCGAUAAAAUCUUUGGCACUUGCGGCUAGGACAUCCAUCAGAUGCCCGCCUUCUUAUCUUGGCUCAACAUGAAUCUGAUAUUUUCUUUUCCCAGCACUCCUGUGAUUUUUUCCCAUUGGCUAAACAAACUAGACUUCCAUUUACUUUAAGUUCCAUUUCAAGUAUUGAUUCUUUUGAUUUUAUUCAUUGUGACUAUUGUUGGGGCAAGAUAUUUUUUGACUAUUGUUGACGAUUAUACAAGGUGCACAUGGGUUUAUUUAAUGCCAUAUAAAUCUGAUACUCAAGGUCUUCUUAAAUCCUUCUUCGCCUUUGUUUAUACUCAAUUUAACAAAACAAUAAAGGCUAUUCGUGUAGAUGAUGGUGGUGAGUUUUCUUCUCUAAAAACGUUUUUUUGCAGAUCUUGGUGUGGUUUACCAACAUUCCUACGUCUCAACACCUCAAUAAAAUGGGAUUGUGGAACGUAAACACCAACACCUUCUAGAGAUGGCUCGAGCCUUGCGAUUCCAUGCACAUCUCCCUCUUAAUUUAUGGGGAGAAUGCGUACUCACUGUUGUAUAUCUGAUUAAUCGUCUCCCCACUCCACUUUUAACUGGUAAAACUCCCAAUGAGCUUUUAUUUAACCAUCCACCCAUUUAUAAACAUCUUCGUGUUUUUGGUUGUCUUUGUUAUGCAACUAAUUUACACCCUUCUCAUAAAUUUGAUAAACGGGCACGUAAAUGUAUUUUCGUGGGUUAUCCUUUUGGUCAAAAGGCUUAUCGUGUUUAUGACUUAGAGACCAAAAAGUUUUUCAGUAGCUGGGAUGUUAUUUUUCAUGAAAAUGUCUUUCCUUUUGCUAAUCAACAUGAUGUACCCACUAUCCCUGUCUUGCCUUUAACCCAAUGAUUAUGAUUAUGUGCCUGUCCACAUAUCAGACCCACUACCCACUUCAUCUUCCAAGCCAAAUCCACCAACCAAUCUAGAUAUGCAUCCACCUAGCCCAAACACACACUCUGGCACACCUACACCACCUCUUCCAAAUACACCACCACCUAGUCCACGCACACAAUCUAGUCCAAAUACACACACCCAAUUUAGCCCCAACACGCAAUCUAAUAUAUCCCCUCAACCUAGUCCACCACUAAGUCCAUCACAUGAUACACACCCACCACCAUCGCUUCGACAUUCUGAAUGCCUAAAACAACCUUCAGUGCUCCUACGUGACUACCACUGUUACACCGCCAUGUCUCUCUACUCUAAUUCGUCAUCUUCUUCAAAUACAAAAGGUAAGGGCACCCGAUACCCUAUUUCCCAAUUUCUUAAUUAUCAUAAUUUGUCAUCCACUCACAAAUCUUUUGUAGCUUCCAUCUCUCGAGUUGUUAAGCCAACUACUUUUGCCCAAGCUUCGACUGACCCUCUUUGGCAAGAAGCCAUGGACAAGGAAAUUCAAGCUCUUGAGCAAAAUAAUACUUGGUCCAUAACACCUUUACCUGCAGGAAAACACCCAAUUGGCUGUAACUGUCCAAAGUCAAAUAUAAUUCUGACGGUUCCGUUGAGCACUACAAAGCUCGUCUCGUGGCCAAGGGAUAUACCCAACAGGAAUGCUUAGACUACACGGAGACAUUCUCUCCCACAGCUAAAUUGGUCACUUUCCGAUGCUUGCUUGCUCUUGCCGCUGUACGCAAUUGGCCCCUCCACCAAUUAGACGUCCAAAAUGCUUUUCUUUAUGGAGAUUUAGACAAAGAAGUCUACAUGCUUCCUCUACCCGGCCUUUGCCGACAAGGGGAGCACUUGGUUUGUCGGCUACACAAAUCAUUAUACAGGUUGAAGCAAGCACCACGAAAUUGGUUUGCCAAGUUCACCAAUGCCCUUCAAGAUGCCGGAUUUGUCCAUCCCUAGCAGAAUAUUCACUUUUCACAAGGUAUCACGAUAAUUCAUUUACCAUUAUAUUAAUUUAUGUAGAUGAUAUUGUCAUUAUAGGGAAUGAUCCUAAGGCAAUUCAGUCUCUUAAGGAUUUACUCCAUGCUCGCUUCCGCAUAAAAGACCUUGGAAAUCUUAAAUAUUUUUUGGGAAUUGAAGUAGCAAGAUCAAAGAAGGGAAUUUUCAUCUCUCAACGCAAGCACACACUGGAUAUACUUGACAACGCUGGACUUUUGGGUGCUCGCCCUUAUUCCUUUCCCAUGGAGCAGACGCUUAGACUCAACCCUACUGAUGGCAACCACUACAAGAUCCUACCAGAUGCAGGCGAUUAGUAGGUCGCCUCAUUUAUCUCACAGUAACAAGGCCAAAUCUCUCAUUUGCUGUCCAUGUGCUUAGUCGUUUCAUGCAUGAGCCGCACCAACCUCAUCUAGAUGCAGCUCUUCGUGUACUACAUUAUUUGAAAGGCUCUCCAGGAUAAGGCAUUUUAUUCCCUACUACAAACAACCUAAAGUUAAAGGCAUUUUGUGACUCAUGUUGGGCAAGUUGUCCAACUACCAAGAGAUCUGUCACAGGUUAUUGUACUUUCCUUGGUGAUUCUUUGAUUUCUUAGAAAAUCAAAAAAUAAAAUACCGUGGCACGUUUCUCUACAGAAGCAGAAAACCGAGCUAUGGCAGAUGCGUGUUGUGAGCUCACAUGGUUACGUUACAUCCUCAAAGACUUGGGCAUUCAACAUUCAGAACCAGCAGUAUUGCAUUGUGAUAAUCAAUCAGCCCUUUAUAUUGCAAAGAAUCCAGUAUUUCACGAGUGAACGAAGCAUAUUGAUCUUGAUUGUCACUUGGUGAGACAAAACAUUCAAUCAAGCUUGGUGUCUACUGCCUACACGCCAACAAAGAUGCAGAUUGCUGAUAUAUUUACUAAACCCUUGGGCAAGGUUCCUUUUGGCUCACUAUUAGGCAAGUUGGGAGUAUACAACAUACACUCUCUAACUUGAAGGGGCAUAUUGAAAUAAGAGGUCAACGUGAAUAUUUUUUUGCUAGUAUAAAAGAUUGACAGCUACAAUUUAGCAUUCCUAUUCUGGUUAACCACUGAUUUGUAGGAUCUAGAUACAAGGAGAAUUGUAGGUUCAUCUCCUAUAUAUGUUGCUGUACCUUCAGAAUUGUACAUUGUACAAAUAUAUGAAAUACCAGUUUCUUUACACUUCAUGGUGUGCUUUAGCUACAUCUUCUACCCUUCUGCGUUGGUCACAUUCAUGUAAUCUUGUACAUGAAGCAACGUACCACAAAGGCUACCAAAAAUUUAAUGACUGUGGACCAGAAGGAAGCAGUAUAUAGGUCCUACUACCUGUGCAUUUCUUGACUAAUAGUUUGAUGCUUAAGGUAAAUCCAAUACAGUUAGUGUAAAUGUCCUUUUACUAUAUAAUUAGGUAUAUCCAAUACAAAAUAAAUCUUUAAUCUUGAACAUAUUUAUAUAGGGGAUUCUAUGACUCACAAAGAAAACCUACGGAUAUAUUUGUGUUUAUGUUUGAUCUCAUUUUCUCUUUUGUAAUUCCAUCUACUUUUCAUAAGAAUUUGUUUGAAACAACUUAUAUAUAAAAACUACCCUUGUUUUUAGAUGAUUAUUGUGGUAGGAUAAAAUCAACAAAAUAGACAAACACGGUAUUUCAAGAAAAGACUAUAAUAACAACUAUCUAAUUGAAUGAUCAAAUGGUUUCGGAUCCAAGUGAUUGUCGCAGAGAUGAUCUUUGAAGAAAUAUCUAAAAACUAGAUGGUAUUGGAUUAUUGAAAUGCAUGGUGAGUCUUAUAAGGGUGUCCUUCAAAUAAGCUUAUUUGAGAAAUCCCUCAACUAAAGCCAUAUCAGUCUCUUUCUCACAAUAUAUAUAUAUAUAUAUAUAUAUACACACCAUACCUUUUGUGAAAAUCUAAAAAUGCUAAAUUAGGAAUGAUAACUGAUAGUUAAAGAACUCUCGUGAUCACUCUACAAGAUUGUGACCUAAAUGAUGAAUCAGCAGCUUAAGUUUCACCCCAUUUGCCACAUACCAUCAAAGUAGGGGUUGACUUUGGCGUUCUUUAGCCUUUAAUCACCACAAGAGUCACAAAUUCUUCUCUUCUCUCUCCUUAUCUUUCCAACCCCACUGAUAUCUCAGAAAGGUCUAUAAAUAGGGAGAACCAAGCCACAUUAUACUCACUCAGCAAUCAUCUCUUGCAUACUUUCAUAUAUACAUUAUCGUGCUUGUUGUUAAGCAAAAGAUGGCAUCCUCAAAGGCUUGUCUUCUUCUUGGUCUUGUCUUUGCUGUUCUCUGUUGACGUGGGUCUCCUAAUUAAUCAAGGAGAUCUACUUCCUUGAUUAAUUAAGGGAUUUACUUUUUUAUUUUUUAUAUAGUUGAUAAAUUAUUGUAUAAUUAGGAGAUACUUUCCUAAUUCUUUACUGUAUAUAAUUUCUUCAAACACAAACCCUAAACCCUCAUAUCAAAUUUCGUCACACCCAAACCCUAAAUCAAAUUCCUCAUAUUUACAGCUUCAGAUUCGGAUCUUCAUACCCGAAUCCUCAUAUCCUCUUAUCACAAAACCCUAAACUCAUAUUUUUUUCUCUUAUCAGAAAACCCUAAACACAUAUUUUUCCUCUUCUCUUAAAUCCUUCCGCUACCAUGAAUAUCGUCUCAUCUUCCCAAACCACUGCCUCCACUUCCCCAUCCUCCACAAUUGCCACAACAAGUUCCCAUGGUUAUGUUUUGACAGGACCCGCCUCGAAUUUCCCAAACCCGAGACAAAUCUUGUGGAAAUUCCGACAUCACCCCAAUGUCGGACCCAAUCACUAAAACUAAAGCGUCCUGUCCCAAAAAGGAAUAAGGGCACGACACUUUCUACCGAAAUUUCGGCAGCCUCCCCUGUAAAUUGAACAUUCCCCAAAUUUCAACCUGCACAAAAACACAUUUAAUAUCCCAACAGGCAGCACUCACAAGAUAAUUUCAUGCAAUUCACAAACUCGGCCUUCGGCCUUUACAAAAACCGAAGUGAAACCAAACAACCCACAAAGCCCUUAAGCAAAAUAUUGCCUUCCGCAAGGCAAUUAAUAAACUCAAAUAUGAAUUAUGAAUACCAAACACAACUUACAUCAUCUACCUUUCCAAUUCUAACAUACGAGGUUUUAACCUCCUAACACAAUCACAUUUAUGUCUGCGGCUGCACCUAAUAACCUUAGGCUGCCUACAUACCCUCACUGAGGGAUCAAGCCAGACGUAGUUCUUUCUACUAAAUCCCGAUUUCCAAACACAGACAAUACCUUUAUUCAUCUCUCUGUUAAUCACAUAAUCUCCCCAUAUGCCGAAACUACCAACGCCACGUAUGGGGUCUGUCAACACGCCGGAUAACUUACGCCACGUGUGACCUCAACUUAUUAUUACCAUAUCUCCUCAUACGCCGGAUCUACCAACGCCACGUAUGGAGCCUGUCCGCACGCCGAAUAACCUACGUCACACGGGACCUCACAAUCAUAUCACAUAAUCUCCCCAUACGCCGGAUCUACCAACACCACGUAUGGGGUCUGUCAACACGCCGCAUAACCUACGCCAUGUGCGACCUCAACGUAUUAUUACAAUAUCUCCCCAUACGCCGGAUCUACCAACACCACGUAUGAGGCCUGUCCGCACGCCGGAUAACCUACGCCAUGUGGGACCUCACAAUCAUAUCACAUAAUCUCCGCACACGCCGAAUCUACCAACACCACAUAUGAGGUCUGUCAACAUGCUGGAUAACCUACGCCACGUGCGACCUUAACAUAUUAUUACAAUAUCUCCCCAUACGCCAGAUCUACCAACACCAUGUAUGGGGCCUGUCCCUAGGGUCAUUUAAAUCCUCCUGGGAAGGUGAGACUCCCCCGGAAGACUCACGGUCAACCAAGGGUCAAACUACCCCAAACUUGGUCAAACGGGCCCACUAGGCCCACAACCUCCAAAUUCCGAUCCAAAAGUUCCUAUAGGUUCUACAAUGUUUAGGACACUCAUCCUGCAAGUUUGGUCCGGAUUGGAUGGUCGGAUCGCUCACGAUCGCACGAUCCGACGGUUAUUAUAAAACAUAAACUUUAAGUUAUUAAAUCGGAACAUCCGAGGCUCCGAUUCAAGAUCCGUGAAUUCUUACACGAGCCUAGAAAUGACUAGAUUAACAUAUAAUAAAUUCAAGACCAUCCAACGGUCCAAACCUAUCGAACCCGGAUAACGCGCAAUAGGCGAUAUCCGUUCGAGACUCAAACGGUAUUUGAAUUCAAAUCCGAGCAUACCGUCAUGCUCGAGACGACAAGAGGGUUAUUUUAGAACUUUAAGACAUGCCACCACAUGGCCCACGCGCCACCCCACGCGCCGGCAGCGCGUAGGUGUCCAAAGAAAUUUUCGGCUGCUGAAAAAACUCCAAACCGCCGGCCAAGACUCCCAAGUUAGGUAAAUCAAAUGUAGUGGAGCAACUUUUGUUCUUGGACCUACCCCAAAAAGUGACCGGAAGUGGCCGGAAUCGGAGGCCGAAAACCGGCCAAACUUCCAUCGCUUAAUCGACCUUCAAAACGUAGAAAUCUCUCGAAUCUAACACAACAGGCAGCAAGAACAGCUCGAGAAGUUGAGAAAGCAUACCUGGAUCGACGAAAAUGGUGGCCGGAGGAUUCCAAACGAGCUCCGUAAAUUUUGGGUUAAAAUCGGUCGGAUUUUUGCAUUUUCUGGCGAUCACAGGUGGUUCCAGCGGCCGAGAUUGGUCGGGAUGGAAAGAGGGAGAACGCCCGGUUCUUUUCGAAUCGGUGCCACCCCAAACGGUGGCCGGUUGCGACAGUGGUGGCCCAAAAACCUUGGCGGUGAAUAGUAACAGAAGGGCUGUUUCUUGCGAAGGGAGAGGGAGGAAGAAGGAGAAAAAAUAAAAUUUAAAACUGCCCGGGUACUGUAGUAAAAUUUUAAAAUUACCUUUUCAUCCUUUUCGUUUUUAGACUUUUCCUCCUUCGUUACAACUCGAAAUUGGGCAUGCCGCAUGUCUACAAAUUCGUAUCGACGAGCUCUACGUAACGGUGCCACUUACUUCUCCAAAAUCUUUCCGAAUCAAAAAAUAACCAAAAUACCCUUACCCAAAGGGUAUAUUCGUAAAUUCAUAUUUAAAUUAAUUUAAUAAUUUAAUUGAGUAACCAAAUUAGGGUCGGGGUGUUACAUGUUUUGCAUAGUUCUUCAAAGAAACACAUAUGGGUCAUUGACACCGGAGCCACUGAUCACAUAACCUUUGAUCCUGGAUAAAUUACCUCUCAUACCCCGUCUUCUUAAUUGGUGGUGUCUAAUGCCAAUGGUAACCCCUCCCCAGUAAUUGGGGAGGGUUCCCUCUCUCUCUCUCUCUGACUCCCUCACUUUGGAUUCUUUAUUUAUUGUUCCAUCCUUACAUCAUAAUUUCUUAUCUGUUGCCCAAAUUACUACGGCUUUGAAUUGCAUUGUAACCUUUUGGCCUACUCAUUGGGUUUUUCAAGACAUUCUCAACAGCAAGACGAUUGGUUGUGGUACUAGGAUGGGCAGACUCUAAUAUCUGGACUUGGCAUCUGACAGUGAAGCCAGCCUCAGUCACUCUUACAAAAUUGGGGGUACGAGUGUUGAGAAGCAAACUUCCGAAGUAUGGUUAUGGCAUCGCCGACUUGGACAUGCUUCGUUUGGAUAUUUACAAAAGCUAUUUUCUUCCUUAUUUUCCCAGUUAGAUAUCUCCAGUUUUACGUGUGACAUCUGUGAAAUAGCCAAGAGCCAUCGUGUUCCUUUCCCCUUAAGUUCACAUAAAAGUUUGGUUCCUUUUUCUCUUGUUCAUUAUGAUGUUUGGGGCCCGCUAAAAUUACCACUCUCGGGGGAGCUAGAUGGUUUGUCACAUUUAUCGAUGAUUGCACACGUAUGACCUGGGUUUCCCUUCGCCAAACAAAAGGGGAAGUCAAUUCCAAGUUUCAACAGUUCUAUCACAUGGUGGAGACACAAUUUCAUACAAGAAUUCAAGUUCUUCAGUCUGAUAAUGGCAGAGAAUUUCUCUACCAUGAUCUUACUCAGUUCUUACAAGAUCAUGACAUUAUACAUCAACGCUCAUGCCCUUACACUCCUCAACAGAAUGGUGUGGCUGAACGAAAGAAUAAACACUUAUUGAAAAUGGUUCGUGCCUCUCUCUUUGGUGCCAAUAUGCCUCGGUCCUUUUGGGGAGAAGUCGUCUUCUUUGCAGCAUACCUUAUCAAUCGGAUUCCCUCCAGUAUCCUUAAUUUCCAAACCCCCCUUCAAACACUCUACAACCAUAUCUAAAUACCUCUUGCCAAAAACCUAAAACCACGGAUUUUUGGCUAUGUGGUCUUUGUCCCCUUACAUGAUCACUAAAGCAGCAAAUUGGAUCCCCGUGCUGAAAAGUGUGUUUUUAUUGGUUAUGCACCUCAUCAGAAAGGUUACGGGUGUUAUCAUCCUCCUAGUCAGAAGGUCUACACUUCUAUGGCUGUUGUGUUCCAAGAGCACGACAUAUAUUUUUCAGCCGUACAUGAGGAGCAUUGCGAUGCCAAACAUCUCAAAUUUCAAGACUUUUUCCUUCAUAAUUGUCACUUACUGAAAACCAUCGGUCGUAGAAUGCAAGCGACAGGUAGCCGGAGACUGUGCCUAAGAACGACCGGUCGCAGCCUAAGACUCUGCCUGAAAGCGACCGGUCGUCCCCCAGAAAUCCGAAUCUGCUUCAAAACGACAGUCGUCUCCCUGCUGUCAAACUUAGGAGAACAUUGAGGAGUUUUUGAGCGCUCAGGAAAAUUCUUCAACUCCAGUAUCCCACCAAUCACCUGCUGAGGACGUCAUUCAGGUAACCUCUUUUCUUGAAACUGAUAACAUUAAUGAAAUAUCCCAUGAUGAUUUAAUUUCAGAAUGCAUAGAGCCUGCAUAUCAGAUUCCAAGAUGGAAGAACGUGGAAAACCUCCAGUUCACUACGAAGCAGACCUUAAUGGAAAAUGAAAAUAUCCCAUCAACAAUUAUGUAUCCAUCAGCAGAUUAUCAGAAUUAUGGGUACACUUUGUGAAGCAGUUGGAUGACAUACCUAUUCCCAACAAUGUAACUGAAGCACUAGAAGACUCAAAAUGGAAAGAAGCCAUGAAUGAAGAAAUGCGAGCUCUCCAGAAGAAUGGCACAUGGGAACUCGUGCCAUUACCUCAUGGAAAGAAGACUGUCGGAUGCAGGUGGAUUUAUAUUGUGAAACUCAUAGCAGAUGGAUCCAUUGAAAGAUAUAAAGCUAGAUUGGUGGCGAAGGGGUGCACAUCAAGAUAUGAGAUAGACCACCAUUAGACUUUUGCCCCAGUAGCCAAGAUUAAAACUAUCAGAGUUCUUCUAUCUCUAGCAACAAAUCUCGAUUGGCCAUUACAUCAGUUUGAUAUAAAAAAAUGCAUUCUUACAUGGAGACUUGAAAGAAUAAGUAUAUAUGGACUUGCCACCAGGAUGUAACUUAGCUCGCGACAAGGAGAAUCAAGUUUGCAAGCUGAGAAAGUCAUUGUAUGGGUUAAAGCAAUCCCCCAGGGCAUGGUUUGGUAGAUUCACUAAAUCUAUGAAGAAUUUUGGAUAUAUACAGAGUAAUGCAGAUCACACCUUGUUUCUAAAGCGUGAUGGAAGAGGACUUACUGCACUGAUUGUUUAUGUGGAUGACAUAGUCGUAACUGGAAACGACAUAGAAGAGCAAUUAAAACUGCAUAAAUAUCUAUCUCAGGAAUUUGAGAUGAAGAAUCUAGGUGAUAUGAAGUACUUUCUAGGAAUUGAAGUAGCCAGGUCCACAACUGGUAUAUUUCUGUCUUAAAGGAAGUAUGUAUUAAAUCUCCUCACUGAAAUAGGAAUGCUUGGAUACAAACCUGCUAAUACACCCAUCGAGAUGAUUCACAAGUUAUGUGAAGACAUGGAUCAAGAACCAACCAAUAAGGAACAGUACCAACACCUUGUUGGAAGAUUGAUAUAUUUAGCUCACACAAGACCAGAUAUUGCAUAUUCUGUGAGUGUGGUUAGUCUGUUUAUGCAUUCACCCAGUGUGUCCCAUAGGAAUGCAGUUGAUCGGAUCUUAAGAUACUUAAAGUCAGCACAUGGAAGAGGGUUAACGUUCUAAAAAAAAUAGAGAUCUCGAAGUUGUAAUGCUGAUUGGGCUGGCUCCAUUACUGACAGACGCUUUACUUCAGGUUACUUCACUUUUGUGGGAGGUAACCUAGUCACUUGGCGGAGUAAAAAACAAAAUGUGGUUUCUCGAUCUAGUGCUGAAGCAGAGUAUCGAGGAAUGGCUCACGAAGUUUUGGAAUUACUAUGGAUCAGAAGACUAUUGACAGAAUUGGGGUUCAAGACAGAAAAGUCAAUAGAGUUACAUUGUGAUAACAAGUCACCCAUCGAUAUUGCCCAUAAUCCAGUUCAACAUUAUUGAACUAAACAUGUUGAGAUGGAUAGACAUUUUAUCAAAAAAAAAAACUUGAGAAAAAGAUCAUCCGCCUACCAUUGGUAAAAUCAGAAGAUUAGUUGGCAGAUAUCUUAACCAAAGCUGUUUGUGCAAGAGUAUUUUAUGACUCACGUACCAAGUUGGGCAUUUGUGACAUAUAUGCACCAACUUGAGGAGGAGUGUUGACGUGAGUCUCCUAAUUAAUCAAGGAGGUUUACUUCCUUGAUUAAUUAAGGGAUUUAUUUUCCUAUUUUUUAUAUAGUUGAUAAAUCAUUGUAUAAUUAGAAGAUACUUGCCUAAUUCUUUACUGUAUCUAAUUCCUUGUAUAGCACCAUGUAAACUCUUAAAUAUACCUCAUUAUGGAGAAGAAUAAAGUUAACCUAAUGCAUUCAAACCAUAUUCAUAUUUUAGCAUUCUCCUCAUCUCCUCUAAGGUCUCAACUACUCCAACUCGUGAGUUUCUCACUUUCUUAACUAAAUCAUAUAUAUUAAAUUAGUAAUUGUAUCUUUCUUUCCAGUAACGAUUUGUGAAUUUAGGCACAUUUUAAUUAUAAGGUGCACUGUCAUGAAAAUGAUUAUGCUUCGAACUCUUUUUUGCAUGAAGGGCUAGUGGUUGCACCUGCAUGGCUUAAUUUGCACCUUAUUAAAUACAAACCUAGCUAUGAUUGUUAUAAGUUAUGUAUAUUGUUUUUGCUUUAUAUAUAAAGUUUUUGUUUAGACAACUUGUAAUUUAAAUUGAUGGCCCCUUUAAAAAUAAUUAGGCAUGACUAAUUUUGAAAAUUUUAGCUCUAACAUGUGUUUUGAACACUUAUAUGUAUUUGAUAUACUUGUGUUUUUUAUUUUGGCCCCCUCAAUCUGAAAAUUCUAGCUCCGCCCGGUGAUGAUUUUCUAGAUGACCAUGGUGACGGACGUGGAGGGUAUGGCCACGGACAUGGAGGGUAUGGCCAUGGCCACCACGGCAAAGGGGGGCCUUGUGCUGCUGAGACUGAAACCAAGAAUUAGAUAACCUGUUAGUUUGUGACUUACGUUGCAGGUGUGUUGUAAGGGUUGUGGUACAAAAUAAAGUUGUUUGGUUGAGUAAUCUAUAUGAACUCUCAAUCAUAGACUCUUCUUAAGCUUGUUCUCGUGUUCUCUGUAAUGUACGCAUUGGAAUGUGUUCUCUUGUUAUGUGAUAAAAUGUGAUUUAACUUGCUCAAUACAUAUUAUGUCAAAAAUGUUUAGUAUGGCUUGGCUCCUUAAAAUUGAGAGGGAGCACAUCCUCACAACAAACGAGAUUUUGGCACUAGUUAAACUUCACAAAAAUUAAAUUUAAAAAAAAAAAAAAAAAAAGAUUAAAAGAACUCAGAAGAAAAAAAAUUAAAGGAAUUUGCCAAGUGUCAAACCUCUAUUUGUUUUGAGGAGGAACUGCUCCUCAGUUUUAUGGAGCCAAACCUUUUCCUAAUAUUAAUGGAGUUCAUGUAUGACUCAUUUGUUUUGUGUGAUCACCAUUUGGUUAAUGAAUUGUGCGCAAAAUUUAAUAGGAUACGGAUCAUCUGCUAUGAUUUUAGUCCCCUAAUAGAAUGGAUCCUACUUUGGAGCACAUGUGGUAUCGGUAGUUCCUACUCGCACUCACAAAUACAUAUUGGUUGGUCCAUUAAAAUGCAAAUAUCACCUCUCAUAUCAUUAUGCGAACAUUGGGAACAAGAGUAGUGUUUCCACCGUUGACAAGGGAUGGAAGAUCUAGCUCGACGGAAAAAUAAGGAGUAAAACUUAUAGAAGCAUGCAUGCCGUGUAUGUAUUGUUGUUAUCAUGGAUACUAAUUUGGCAAUUAAUUUUCUAAUGGGUGAAUUAAAAAAACAUUUUUAAUCUAUAUAUGUAAAGUUAAAUAUCCUUUCUUGAUGAACAAUUUGUAAUUGCAUCUCUGUAAUUUUUAUGGGUUUGUGUUCUUGGUGGUUGACUAGUCAUUGUAUGAAUGUUGAAUAUGAGUAAGGUUCAUGGAGACAAAAUUGGUUUUGGUUAUGGUUGUUCUAGUUUAUGCGUUCCUCCUUCUUUGACCACAUUUGUCAAGGAGUCAAAUAAAAAAUUUGAUGUUUUAGAGCCAACUAGGACUCAAAGAUUCAUUCCUACUUGUCACCAUUGUGGUGUGAAAGGUCACAUCCAACCUAGGUGUAAUGCUCUAAGGAAUGUGUCUAGAGCAACCAAUGCAAAUGGCUUUAAGAACCAUGUUUCAUCUCUUAAAACAUGUGAGCUUGCAAAAUCUGUUCUUUGUAAAAGGGAUAAACCAAAAAGGUUCAUUCCUACUUGCCAUCAUUGUGGCACAUUGGGACACAUAAGAUCAAAGUAUUUUGAGUUUAGGAAUUUUGAGAAAAAGUCUUUUGUUCAUUUCAAGAAAGUAAAUGAUGACUCACUUCAAGUUGAAGCCAUGGCAGAGGCAUGAGAGGCGAGAAAGACUAUGUACUUUUAUAGUGUUAUCCCCGACUAAUAACACCAUAACAUUCGUGAUAAUAUUUUAAUGUGGAAUAAUAUUAUUGAUCGAAUAUAACAAAAUAGUACUAUCCCCGUUGCGACUACGUUUUUAUCCGUGGACUGCUAGGCUUACCUAGUCUUUAAAAUGCAGUUGAAGAAUUUAUUAUUAUGAAAAUGACGUGAGAGAGGGAGGGGGUCAUAUAUUUUCAGAAUAAUUUUGCUAAAAAACGAAAGCAGAAGAAUUAAUUAUUAUGAAAAUGACGUGUAAUAAAACCACAGGUUGUGUGACAUUGCCGUACAUGCAGUCGGUGAGUCCACAGACGAACAUGCAUUUGUUUUGAGUCACAUUAAUUAAGCAGUGAAUGGGGGCACUAGUUGUCCAUCUUUAUAUGACCCAAUGACUUAAGAUAUCUAUAUAUAUGCAUACGGACUUUAAAAAGUAGAAGCAAUACAGCCUUAGAAAGGCAGUGCGUGCAUGGAAAAAGAUUAUUAGGUAACGAUAUAAAUUUACGGUACCUAAUACAUUAGCGCUAAUUGAUAAUUUUUUGAUACUCUAAUAAUAAUAUUGACAAUUAGUGUCGAAAUAUCAGGUACGAUAAGUGUCGAAUUGAGAAUAUAUUAGGUACGAUAAAUUGAUAUUAAGUAUUUCGUCGGUAGUUGGUAGGUACUUAGUAGCUAUCAAGUAAAUAUUAUAUGAGAUACGAAGAUCAACAUGAAUUAUAUCUUUGUAAUUUAGUAGCUAUGCUUGUAUCUGGUCCUGAUUUGCAUAUCUAUUAUUAGGUAAAAUACUUUGAAAUUAUUGAACUUUAAACAUUUUCAUUAAUCAAAGGGCUAUUAAGAACCCAAAGGCAAAUAUAAUGGUUUACGUGGGUGGGUAUGGAACUUGUGUGUAUUCUUUGACCUUGUCAAUCUUAUUAAUGAGUGUUGGUUGGUGGGGUCCCGAUUUGCAUAUCAAUUAUUAGGUAAAUUACUUUGAAAAAGCACAAAUCGUCAAAGUUUGUGGACAUGAGGGAUAGAUACUGUGGCUGGAUUGUCAACAAUGACAGAGUGAACGACUUUUCUUCAUGGUGUGCUUUAGCUACAUCUUCUAUCCUUCUGCGUUGGUCACAUUCAUGUAAUCUUGUACAUGAAGCAACUUACCACAAAGGCUACCAAAACUUUAAUAACUAUAGGUCCUACUACCUGUGCAUUUUUACUUGACUAAUACAAUUAGUGUAAAUGUCCUUUUACUAUAUAAUUAGGUAUAUCCAUACAAAAUAAAUCUUUAAUCUUGAACAUAUUUAUACAUGAUAUACGGAUUCUAUGACUCACAAAGAAAACCUACCAUACAUUUGUGUUUAUGUUUAAUCUCAUUUUCUCUUUUGUAAUUCCAUCUACUUUUCAUAAGAAUUUGUUUGAACCAAUUUAUAUAUAAAAACUACCCUUGUUUUUAGAUGAUUAUUGUGGUAGGAUGAAAUCAACAAAAUAGACAAACACGGUAUUUCAAGAAAAGACUAUAAUAACAACUAUCUAAUUGAAUGAUCAAAUAGUUUCGGAUCCAAGUGAUUGUCGCAAAGAUGAUCUUUGAAGAAAUAUCUAAAAACUAAAUGGUAUCGGAUUAUUGGAAUGCAAGGUGAGUCUUAUAAGAGUGUCCUUCAAAUAAGCUUAUUUGAGAAAUCCCUCAACUAAAGUCAUAUCAGUCUCCUUCUAACAGUAUAUAUAUACACACCACACCUUUUGUGAAAAUCUAAAAAUACUAAAUUAGGAAUGAAAACUGACAGUUAAAGAACUCUCGUGAUCACUCUACAAGAUUGUGACCUGAAUGAUGAAUCAGCAGCUUAAGUUUCAGCCUGUUUGCCACAUACCUUGAAAGUAUCCCACCCAAUUAAUCACACAAAAACAACUUCUUUUGACUUGAUCACACAAGACAACUUAGCUAGCUUUUAUUGUCCCGCCUCUAAUAAAAGCUUACUUAAUACGUAGUCCCAUCAACCCUACCAUCAAAGUAGGGGUUGAAUUUGGCGCUCUUUAACCUUUAAUCACCACAAGAGUCACAAAUUCUUCUCUUCUCUCUCCUUAUCUUUCCAACCCCACUGAUAUCUCAUAAAGGUCUAUAAAUAGGGACAACCAAGCCAUAUUAUACUCACUCAUCAAUCAUCUCUUGCAUACUUUCAUAUAUACAUUAUCGUGCUUGUUGUUAAGCAAAACAUGGCAUCCUCAAAGGCUUUUCUUCUUCUUGGUCUUGUCUUUGUUGUUCUCCUCAUCUCCUCUGAGGUCUCAGCUACUCCAACUCGUGAGUUUCUCACUUUCUUAACUAAAUUAUAUAUAUUAAAUUAGUAAUUGUAUCUUUCUUUCCAGUAACGAUUUGUGAAUUUAGGCACAUUUUAAUUAAGGUGCACUGGUCGUGAAAAUGAUUAUGCUUUGAACUCUUUUUCUGCAUGUAGGGUUAGUGGUUGUUGCACUUGCAUGGCUUAAUUUGCACCUUAUUAAAUACAAACUGAUCCAUGAUUGUUAUAAGUUAUGUAUAUGUUUUUGCUUUAUAUAUAAAAUUUUUGUUUGUUCUCUCAGAGGAGAGUAUAGUCAACGGUGAUGGCCACGGACAUGGAGAGUAUGGCCAUGGACAUGGAGGUUAUGGACACGGACAUGGAGGGCAUAACCACGGACAUGGAGGGUAUGGCCAUGGACAUGGAGGGUAUGGCCACGGCCACCACGGCAAAGGGGGGCCGGGUGCUGCUGAGACUGAAAUCGAGAAUUAGAUAACCUAUUAGUUUCUGUGACUUACGUUGCAGGUGUGUUGUAAGGGUAGUAGUACGAAAUAAAGUUGUUUGGUUGAGUAAUCUAUAUGAAAUCUCAAUCAUAGACUCGUCUUAAGCUUGUUCUCGUGUUCUCUGUAAUGUACGCAUUGGAAUGUGUUCUCUUGUUAUGUGAUAAAAUGUGAUGUAACUUGCUCAAUACAUAUAUUAUGUAAAAAAAAUGUUUAGUAUGGCUUGGAUGCUUAAAAUUGAGGGGAAGCACAUCCUCACAACAAAUGAGAUUUUGACACUUGUUAAAAUAACUUUACUUUUUCCUAAUAUUAAUCGAGUUUAUAUAUGACUCAUUUGUUUUGUAUGAUCACAUUUGGUUAAUGAAUUGUACACCAAAUCUAAUAGAAUAUCGAUCCUCUGCUAUGAUUUUAGUCCUUUAAUAAGAUGAAUCGUAAUUUGGAGCACAUUUGGUAGUUCCUACUCUCACUCAAAAAUACAUAUUGGUUGGUCCAUUAAAAUGCAAAUAUCACCUCUCAUAUCAUUAUGCGAACAUUGGGAACAAGAGUAGUGUUUCCACCGUUGGCAAGGGAUUGGAAGAUCUAGCUUGAUGGAAAAAUAAGGAGUAAAACUUAAAGAAGCAUGCAUGCCGUGUAUGUAUUGACGAUACUAAUUUGGCAAUUUCUAGUGGGUGAAUUAAAAAAACAUUUUUAAUCUAUAUAUGUAAAGUAAAAUAUUGUUGUAGUUAAAUUUUAAAAUAAUUCAUUUAAGAAAUUUGUGGUCAAUUUGUGAUUGCAGAGGUUCAAGAGAUUUGUGGUCACUUACUGUUGGAUGUAAAUUUAACGGUUCACUUACUCUUGCACUCCUUUUAAGAAACUUUUUUGAACUAUUGAAUGUUACAUCCAAAGGUGGGUGAUCACAAUCUCUUAGACCCCUAUAAUCCAAGAGAUCGAAACUAUUAAUAAGAUAUACAAAUGCAUGAACUAAUUUAGUUAAAUUGAUAACUCGAGGACUAAAGUGGCGAAUGAGUUAAAACAAAAGAACCAUUUCAACAUUUAAACCGAAAAAAACAUUUUGAUUAUGUGGGCUGCUUUCGCAAGAGAUAAAUAAAACCUCUUUUUCUACGACCUAGUGAUUUAUAAUAAAAUAUUAUUUAUCUUACUAUUUCUAUUGCAUGCUGCCAUAAGCCUUAUAUUUUUAUAUUGUAAUAGAGGUGAAACGCGUCACUCAAUGACUUUCAGUAUGGGCAGUAGCAAAAAUAUUAGAAAUUAAUUUAUGCAUAUGCUCAGUGCUCAAAUUUAAGGGAUGAAGCCACGUGAAGAUUUUGUUAUAUAAAAACAAAAAGAAGCAAAAAAGAAAAAUGGAAGGCCACCCCACGUGAAAUGGUGAAGCAACGGCUACAAUUACAAAGCAAACCAUCAACAAAGAAAUAAAAAAAAAAAAGCAAAAGGAAGCAUCCAAUGCAAAUUAUAAAAAAAAAAGUAAUAGGAAACCGUGCGAAUGCCAGUCUUCAUUCUUAAUAGCUACCAUGCCAAGUAUAUCAAUUUACGGUGCCUAAUACAUAGGGGUGGCAAUUUCGGAUACGACCCGAUACACGACUCGAAACCCGCACGAGAAAUUAGCGGGUUCAACCCGCACGAUAAAAAAACGGGUCAAUUUCGGGUCAACCCGUUCUGACCCGUUUAAUAAACGGAUGGGUUUCGGGUCAACCCGCUAACCCGCUAUAAUACCUAUCUAACCCGUUUAUUAAACGGGUCGUGUCAACCUGUGUACAACCCGUCAACCCGUCUCUUCUCCUUUUUUUUUCCUUCUUUCUUCUCUUCUCUCUUUUUUUUUUUCCUCUCUUUUCCUUUCCUCUUCUCUCUUUUUUUCUUCUCCUCUCUUUUUUUUUUCCUCUCUUCAGUUUUUUUUUUUCCUUCUUUCUUCUCUUCUCUCUUUUUUUUUCCUCUCUUUUCCUUUCCUCUUCUCUCUUUUUUUUUUCCUCUCUUUUCCUUUCCUCUUCUCUCUUUUUUUUUUCCUUCUCUUCAGUUUUCUCUCAUCUCUCUUUUUUCUGUCUUACUUUCCUUCAAUCUUCUCUCCUAUCUCUCUCUCUCUCUCUCUCUCUCUCUCUCUCUCUCUCUCUCUCUCUAUUUUUUUCUUUCUUUAGCUUCUCUCUUCUCUCCUCUCUCUAUCUUUUUUUUUUCUUUCUUUUCCUUAUAUUUUCUCUACUCUCUCUGUUUUUUUUUAAUUAAAAUUUUUUCGGUUGUGAGUUUUGUAACAUGCAUGUUAUUCUUUAUGAACCCGUUACACGACUCGAAACCCGCACGAUAAAAGACGACCCGAACCCGACACGACACGUUUAUUAAAUAGGUUGGGUUCGGGUUGAGCAUUCUUGACACGUUUAUUAUCCCGACACGACACGAACCCGACACGACCCGACCCAUUGCCAGCCCUACUAAUACAUUAAUUAGCACUAAUCGAUAAUUUUUUGAUACUCUAAUGAUAAUAUCGAUAAUUAGGAGUGUAUCCAAUUCAAAUUUUUAAUCACUUUUAUAGAGUUUAAAAGUUUGAAUGUAUUCAAUUUAGAUUUUUAAAGAGUUUAUAAAAGUCUAAUGGUAUUCAAUUGUGACUUUUAAAAAGUAGUUAAAGUAGUUAAAAGUUUUGUGGUAUCCAAAAAGUUAAUUAUUUUAAAAAAAGCUUAUUAAAUGAAUGACUUUUCUAUAAAAGUAUUUGAGCUAAUUGUUAAGAGCAAAAGUCUUGUUAAUUUAUACUAGUGACUUUUAUAAGUAUUUAAGAAUUUUUCAACUCUAUAAAAAUUACUCAUUUAAAAAAAAUCUUUAUAAGUAUGAAUUGGAUACACUUAAUAUUGAAUUCAUAAUAUAUCAGGUAUUGUAAAUUUAUAUUCCGUAUCAGGCAGUAAGUAGCUAUAUAGCCAUAGUUUCGAGUAAAUAUUAUAUGAGCUUUGAAGAUAAUUAACAUUUAUUCUCUUUGUACUUUAGUAGUUGGGGUUGUAUCUGGUCCUGAUUUUGCAUAUCUAUUAUUUGAUAAAGUCACCUCUGAAAAAGCACAAAUCAUCAAAGUUUGUGGACAUGAGAGAGAGAGAUUACUGUGGCUGGAUUGUCAACAAAGUGUGAAUGGCUUUUCUUCGUGGUCCUUUGGCUUCAUCUUCUACCCUUCUGCGUUGGUCACAUUCAUGUAAUUUUAUAAAGGAAGCCACGUACCACAAAGGCUACCAAGGGCUGAGUUGGAAUCCCAUUCUAAGUAAGGAUUCUUAUGGUUUCAAAUGAUCUAGUUACAUGAGAACUAGGAAAGGAGAACUUUCCCUACUUUGAACCCGACUCUUUGAUAUUAAGAAUGCUGGUUUUAAGAAUGAGUGAUUGCCCUUCUCCAACCCUUAUUGCCCAACCUAAAAGCAGACAGCUAAUGCAAUCCACUUAUUAAUAACUAUUGUAGAUUGAUCUAUAUUAAAUUGACUUGUAUUAAUAUAACUUUAUACACAGUACUAGAUAAUAUGGUAGAGAGAUUCAGAAACUUUAAUAAUUGUGACCACAAAAGGAAACAGUAUAGGUCCUACCUGUGCAUUUUUUCCUGCCUAAACCCUAAACACCUUUUGUUUUUGUGAUCAUCUAAACAUGCUAAAUUAAGAAUGAAAAUUGACAGUUAAAGACUCUCACGAUCACUCUACAAUACUGUGACCUGAAUGCUGAAUCAGCAACUUAAGUUUUAGCCCAUUUGCCACAUACCUCGAAAAUAUCCCAUCCAAUUUCAUGCAACUAAUCACACAAAAAAUAACUUCUUUUGACUUGAUCAAAAAAGACAGCUUAGGGCCCGUUUGAAAACCAUUUCAAUUUUAGUUUUUAGUUUUUUUUUUUUGUUAGAGUAUACAGGAAAAAGAAGGAGAAUGAAAUUGAGUGAAGAUGAGAUUGAGAGAGAAGAUGAAAAGAGAGGAUAAGAGGAAGGAGUGACAAAAGUGAAAACAAAAACUAAAAACUGAAAUAUAUUUGAAAUUGUUUUCACUUUUGUUCCUCCUCCCUCCCAUAUCCUCCCUUCUCAUCAUCUCCCUCAUCUCAAUCCUCACUCCCACUCUCAUUUUUCUCUAACAUUCUAGCACAAAAAAUGAAAACCAAAAACAAAAAUUGAAAUGUUUAUCAAAUAGCCCUUACCUUUCGCGUUCCCACCUUUAAGAGAUGCUUACUUAAUACGUAGUCCAUCUAAAGCAGAAAAAAAAAGCAUUGCUUGGUAAAGUCCAAAACCAAAAGAUUAAAAAUAGGGGUUGGGUUUGGCACUUUAUCCUUUAAUCGUACUUAUCUUCUGAUUUGAAAAAAAAAUCACAAAUUCUUCUUUUCUCUCUCCUUAUCUUUCCAACCCCACUGAUAUCUCAUAAAGGUCUAUAAAUAGGGAGAACCAAGCCACAUUAUACUCACUCAGCAAUCAUCUCUUGCAUACUUUCAUAUAUACAUUAUCGUGCUUGUUAAGCAAAACAUGGCAUCCUCAAAGGCUUUUCUUCUUCUUGGUCUUGUCUUUGCUGUUCUCCUCAUCUCCUCUGAGGUCUCAGCUACUCCAACUCGUGAGUUUCUCACUUUCUUAACUAAAUCAUAUAUAUUAAAUAGUAAUUGUAUCUUUCUUUCCAGUAACGAUUUGCGAGUUUAGGCUCAUUUUAAUUAAGGUGCACUGGUCGUGAAAAUGAUUAUGCUUCGAAUUUGUACUAGAUAUAUAUAGCAUUAGUGCUCUAAAAUAUAUUAAUUAUGAGAAUAUCUGGAUGUAAUUUACUCUUUCUGCAGGAAGGGCUAGUGGUUGUUGUACUUGCAUGGCUUAAUCUAUGAUGGUUAAGUGAUGUAUAUUUUAGAGACUAAUGCUAUUUGUAACACAUUUACUGACCAGAUUGCUGAUCACCUCUCUAAUAUAGAUGGGCCCCACAUAUACUGGUGAGGCCACCUCUAUUAGAGAGAUGGUCAGCAAUGUGGUUAGUAAAUGUGUUCCAAAUAGCAGCACUCUAUUUUUUUCUACAUAUUUUCUUGGGUGCUGAUUUUUCCACUCCUUUUUUGGUUUUUUAAUGCUUUUACUUUAACAUAUAAGGAAGUGUAAGUUGACAAAAUAUGAGUGGGAACAUACAAUUUCUAACAAAAGGAGUGUAAGUGGAUAAAAGAUAAGUGAUAAAAUCAGCUCUCUCUCUCUCUCUCUCUCUCUCUCUCUCUCUCUUUUUCUAUAUAUAUAAAGUUUUUGUUUGUUUUAUCAGAGGAGAGUACAGUCAACUAUGAUGACAAUUUUCUUGAUGAUCACGAGCAUGGGCAUGGGCAUGGACAUGACCAUAGGCACGUCCAUGGCCAUGGGCAUGACCACAGGCAUGGACGACAUGGCCAUGGCCACAAUGGCAAAGGGGGACCUGGUGCUGCUGAGACUGAAACCGAGAAUUAGAUAACCUGUUAGUUUCUGUAUUUAUGCUGCAGGUGUAUCGUAAGGGUAGUAGUAUGCAAUAAAGUUGUAAUGGUUUGAGUAAUAUCUAUAAACUCUCAAUCAUAGGUUCGCCUUAAGCUUGUUCUUGUGUUCUCUGUCAUGUACGGAUUGGAUCACCUUGUUAUGUACUAAAAUGUGAUUUAACUUGUUGAAUACAUAUUAUGUCAAAAAUGUCUAGUAUGGCUUGGCUACUUAAAAUUGAGGAGGACAUCCUCACAAUAAAUGAGAUUUUGAAACUUGUUAAACUUCAAAAGAAAAAAAGGUUAAGGGAAUUCCAAAGAAAAAAAAUUAAAGGAAUUUUCCAAGUUUCAAAAGUCUAUUUGUUUUGAAGACGAACUCCUCCUCAGUUUUAAGGAGUGUAAGUUUUUUCCUAAUAUUAAUGGAGUUUCAUAUAUGACUCAUUUGUUUUGUGUGAUGACCAUUUGGUUAAUGAG